CAGUCGCUUUCUUCGCAACCAAAGGUGCGAAGAGGAUCAAAUUACUCGUCUUCCUCAGGUAUUUCAUCCUCUCAGUUGUCCAUCUGAUUGCUGCAUCUUAAAGAAUGUGAUAAUUAUUUCUAAUUUUUAUCUUGUCUAUUCAUUUGCUUGGUGUCUUAGAUCUGAUUGGUCUUCAAGUGAAAUAUCAUAGCAUGAUGUUUUGUUUUAGGUUUUGAUAGAUUUCUUUGUACUAUGUCUUUGACAUUAUUUAUUUUGGUUAAAAUGUUAGUUGACUCUUCAUUCGGUGAAUUAUGAAUUUAUUACAAUGGAUUUAGCCAAAGACAUAUAAUCUUCAUUUUUCUCUAUCAUGAAUCUUAGCAAAUUAUUCACUACUUGCUUCAUCAUGAGUUCUGGAUUGAAAUUCCUUUUGUCUAUGAUUUCAUCCAGUUUUAAAAGAAACUUUGAGGAGAAAUCGCUGGAUCCUCCUCCAUUGUCUUAGGCCAAUUCUGUCUUUCUUUAUGCCUGGUUUUGUGUUUCCCUGCUUAUAAAAUAUUUUGCCUGAUUUUCUGGAGAUUUGGUGAUAGGAUAGUAAAUAAAAAAUGUGGAGGAGGCUUCCAAAAGGCAGUGGCAGCAGAAGCAGCCAAUCUCUUGGAGGCCACAGGUCCCAGUGGGAUCAAACCAAGUGGUACUUUAAAGAUAUGUUUAGAGGAAGAGAAUGAACUGAAAACAGCAGGUUCAUCAAUUGAUGAAUCUGAAGAAAAUGAGGAUGCAAAGUUUGCAAGACUAUUGCACGAAGAAUACUGGAAAUCGAUGAAACAAAAAAAAGAAACCUCUACCACAUCCGGAGGCAUUGGUGUUCACGUCCCUUGAGAUUACGCUACAAUUAUUGAUGAUGUACAAAUGUGGUGACAUGGAUGAUUGCAUCUCAACCACUGAUGUUGCUGAAUUAGAUGCAUCACUUGAUGAGAAGGUGAAAAACGAUUUGCCACUGCCAGGAACUUAUCAAUGGAGGGCCUCCCUAUGGUGGUGUUCUUUCUUGUUUUUCUUCUGAUAUGAACAGGUUCAACACCAGUACAAUUGAGUUCAGUAUGAAAUGAUACUGGCAUUCUUAUCGAGGUAGGGAAUUCGAACUUGGACCUGUACCACCAUUCUAUGGGAGAGUAACGCCUUAUAGUGGUGAAGCUUUUCUCUUCGAUAGAAUGCAGGUAGAGGUCCAAGUGUGAUUCCCACUUCGGAAUUCCCCAAGUGUUUGUAUUCAUUUCAUUAACUUUAGCCUAUGAACCCAAUUUGGAAAAUCUUACUACGUUGAAUCUUGAAUGCAAUAUUCCUUAUCAGAUUACUGCUCGAUCAAUUGAUUCAGUGUGUUUGGACACAAAUUACAGAAUGUUUAUUGUGGUUGAUUUUCAGAAAUUGAUUGUAGCUAUCAAUUACGGAGAUAAAUUUAUAUUUAUGUUUAUUAAAAUUUAAUUCCACCCCACCAAUUUGAUGAGAUAUGAACUCAUUAUGCAUCCAAAAAUGAAUACAAGUACAACAAUAAGUUAUUUUUUUGAACAUUGAAAAUAACACGAUCUAUUUGCAUGUCGUGCAUAGAAGAAUUUUCUAGCAUAGAUAAUAGGAAACUUCCGACGGAAAGUUAGUAAACUAAAUAAUGUUGAUCAAAUUUGUAGCCUAAAAUAGCAAAUUCAUCUCUUAAAAAGUUUGCAUAUGCAAUAUUUGUAAUAAAUUAGCGAAUCACAACUUUGACCAAUUUACUGGACGGCCUCAACAAGAAACGUCGUAUGUAGUCUGCCAUGUUAUGUUUAUAAGAGUAUUAGAACAACUUUACCAUACUCUAUAUUUUAGCUUUUAACUAUUUUAGAGAGCGUAUUUAGCUUUUUUUGAUAUUUUUAGAGCUCCAGCAAACUACCAAAGUUUAGCUAUUAUAACUUUUAGCUAUCUUGCUAGCUAAAUAUAGAGAGCAAGAUGACUCAGAUUAGGCUAGCUAUAAUUUAAUACAUUUCUUAUGAGAUAUUUUAUGUGAUAUAUAAAUAUAUUUAAACUAUUUAAUCUUUAUUUGAAGAAUAAUGUUGAUGUAAUGCUAGCUAAAAUAGAGAGCAUUGAUGCAGCCGUAUUUUUAAAGUGGCUAGCCAAAAUGACAUUUUAGCUAAUUUAACUAAAAUUUAACUCAAAAUAGCUAAAUACUUGUAAAAAUUCUUAGUAUAUACAAUAUCUGUGAAUCUGUAAAUGUUGAAAAUUAAGACGCUCUGACCAUAUCAGUCCAUAAUUCAAAGUACAACCCUAAAUUAAUGGAAAGAUUCCGAGAUUCAUUUCUUACAUUCCGGAUUUCCAUAACUAACCCCCAGAAUCUUAGACCAAGACCCUACACACGUGUCAGCACAUCCGUGAAACCCUACAUUGAAACAACCUAUAAAAUCAGGAAAAGCCAAACAUUGCCAAAAAUAAUAAAAUAUCAAAAAAGGACAGAAGCCUCGCCAGCUCUCAAAUCUAACGGCUGCGAUGGCAACAGCAACGCCCCCAGCUUUAUAUAUUACAAAUUCCCCGAAGAUUCCUUUUCCGCAGCCUCUACUUUUGAAAAUCUGCCACUCAAUUUUAGACUCUCGUUUAGAAAGAAGCUACAGUCCUCCUCUCCGCCGCCGCGACGUCGCCGCCAUGUGUGGAAUUCUCGCCGUCUUGGGAUGCGUGGACCACUCCCAGGCCAAGCGCAGCCGCAUUAUCGAGCUCUCCCGCCGGUAAAAAACUUGAUCGCAUUUUCUUCAAGAGUAAUCGAAUUGCUUUUUUGAUGUAGUUGAUUGUGGUGAUGAGCGAGUUUGUGAGGUUUGAUUUGAUUUGUGUGUAGGUUGAGGCAUCGCGGUCCUGAUUGGAGCGGCUUGCAUUGCCAUGGAGAUUGCUACCUUGCGCAUCAGCGAUUGGCUAUCGUGGACCCUGCCUCAGGUGAUCAGCCACUCUACAACGAGGACAAGACCGUCGUUGUCACGGUACUCUCUCUCUCUCUCACUCUUUCGGCUUCGCAUUCCGGUUCGGUGUUAUUCAGUGUGGUUUGGAUGGAUGAGGAUUAGUUUGGAUUGUAUUGCGAAAUAGAUGACAAUUUAGAGUUAGGAAUCAGGGGCUGUAUUUUGCUGUAUGGUUAGUUUGAUUUGAUUCAUGGUUAUUGGUGUAUCGAAAAUUAGAGCAUUGCAUGUGCUAGUGGCAAAAACUAGCGGCAAUUGGUUUUGCGGUUGAGUGAGCAACAUAAAUCUGUGACUGUUGAUUAGCUUUGAUAGUGGAAAACAUUUUUUCUUAGGCUUUUUACUGAGCCGAGCGGGGUUUAGAGUUUAAAAUUUGGUUUUUGGAUUUUUGGUUUGGUGAUCUGCUUAUGUUAGUAUGUUGAAUUAAUAUUGUGGUUGAUUAUUUGGAGCUGUGCUUUCAGGUUAACGGUGAGAUAUAUAACCACAAGGAAUUGAGAGAAACAUUGAAGGGUCAUCAAUUCCGAACUGGUAGUGAUUGUGAAGUGAUAACGCAUCUUGUAAGUAUCAGUGACUUCACCCAUGAUUGAAUGACUACCUUUUUGUCUGGAUCUAGAACAAAAACCCUGUUAAACUUCCCUUACUUUUCUGUUUAUUUCUAUUCUGCCAUAUCUUUUUAUCUAAUUUAACGUAUGUUUUUGGCAGUAUGAAGAACAUGGGGAAGAAUUUGUUGACAUGCUGGACGGGAUGUUCUCCUUUGUCCUCCUUGAUACAAAAGACAAUAGUUUCAUGGCGGCUCGUGAUGCUAUUGGCAUAACCCCACUGUACAUGGGCUGGGGUCCUGAUGGUAGGUCAAGUGUAGCGAAGGUUUUGUUAUUGAAAAAGCAACUGAUAUUUCUUUAAUUGAUUCUAGUCAAACCAUUUGCUUGAUUCUUGCUUCAUUUUGUUCUUGCAUGUGUUAAAAAGAAAUUUGUAAAAGCAAAUGUGACCAGCAUUGAGAUUUAGUCCACUCACACUGCUAGUCUGCUGCUUCAGAAAUUCUUUGCACUAAUAAAAAAGUCUGGCUUAUGUUUAUAUUAUAGUGCUAGUUACCUCCCUCCUAAGUCAUAAUGAUUCUUAAUUAAUAUUUGAUCAGUUCCAGUUUCAAAAAAAAUUAAUAUUCGAUCAGUAGAUUUGUGGAAGCUUUGAUUAUCUCAGAGCAUUUAAGCUGUUUCUUUUUUUCCCUCUUUCCAGGAUCAAUUUGGUUUGCUUCAGAAAUGAAAGCUCUAAGUGAUGAUUGUGAAAGAUUCAUAACUUUUCCUCCUGGGCAUCUAUACUCUAGCAAACAAGGUAAGUUGAAUUGAGCUCUAGAUACUGAUAAGGAUUUUGGUUCGUGAGUUAAUUAGCAGCCUGUUAGUCUGCGAAAGCUUCAAUAUAAAUCUUUUUAGAUCAGCAUACUUCUUUUAAGUUCUUCUUAUGAUAUUAUCACCCGUUUGACAGCGAUAAAGAAGGAACAGAUGCUUCUAUUAUUUCACUUGAAAAUAAAAAAACCAAAAACAUUAUAGCAAACUGUAUCAUACAUUUUAUACUUGGGGUUUUGGACAUACUUUAUACGGAAAUAUAUAAUUUUGAUUGAUAUCACUAGCAAGACUAUGUUUCUCUUAUUGUAAUUCGGAAAACUCUUGAGCCUGAGUCAGAAGUUUCUUUCUUUUUGUAUAUUCAUUUGGUUUACUAAUAACUUUCAAGAUGCCUUCUUCUUUGUUCAUCACAACUUUGUACAUAUGUAUUUACGAUUUUGUGUGUAGGAGGGCUGAGAAGGUGGUACAAUCCACAAUGGUUUUCAGAGAAGAUACCAUCGACUCCUUAUGAUCCCAUUGUUUUACGCAGGGCUUUUGAGAAGGUAUGCAUUGACGUGUACCGCUUACAAUCUUCCUUCUUUUCUAUUUGUGUUUUCUUUAUUUUCCCAGUCUAAUCGAUUGGUUGCAACCAUCACGAAAGAAAGUAAACUUCAUUCUUGCUUUUAAUUUUGUUUUGAGAACUGUGUUAUUGAGACUACUAUGUUGAUGAUUUUCUUUUGUUUACCAAAACUUUGUUACAUCGGGUUUUUUGUGUGGAUCCUGUCAUUGAAAAAAAGUCUUUAAAAGGAGUGGUUUAUGCCACUUUUGUCUCUGCUAGUUAGUGUCCGGAGUCAUUUACUUGGUGUGCAACCCUGCUAGUUGGGUGAGACUUGUGGAACUUACUGAGACUAUUAUAUAGAUCAUUCCUUUUGUUUACAAAAACCUUGUUGUUAUACUCAGAUCUUUGUGUGGAUCCUGGUAUUGAAAAGGAAAUCUUAAAAGGAAAGGCUGAUUGAUGCCAGUUUUUUCUAUGCCAUUAUUAGUGUUGGGAGUUCUAGUUUUUUUACUUGGUGUGUAGCUCUACUAGUUCGGUGUCACUUGAGGAACUUCCUUGAUUGGAUCUUUGAUGAGGAGGACUUGCAAUUGGUUUUUGUUUUUGGUUGUAUACAGUGAGAUCGGAAUUUGGCAUACUUUAUAGUCUCACUUUAUAGUACAGUGUGUUGAAUGGGCAAUGUUACAUUUGCAUUUGGAGGCCUUAUUAUCUUAUUAACCGAAGGUGGUAAUUAGGCAUGGUUACUAGAUAAUAGCAGAACCCAUGGAAGAGUUGAUGAAUUAACUUAAAAGUUGAAAUGAAUAUGUUAUUUCAAAGAAAGGUCACUUUGACUUCACUUGAGCAAUGGCUUCUGAUAUAUAUUAGUACUUAAAUUGCAAGAUAUAUUCCUACUUUUUUCUUUUCCCUCCUCAUACUUUAUGUCUGUUAUACCCAUUGAAAACUUGCAUAAAGCACAUCCUUUCUAUCUGCCCACCUUAAAAUAUAAUAUUAGUGUAGCAGUUUAAGUAUUUAACUAUUGCUUCAUAGUAAUGGUUUCUAAUGAAAAAUAUAUAAAUAUCAAUUCAGCGUCUAAACUAUGAGUGAUAAUCAGAUAUGUGGUUUGUUAAGAGAGAUUUUGAUUGGCCCCUGUGCCUCAUUCCACCGUCAGUCUGUCACUAUUUAGCUUCAUACAUAUCCUUACAUUAUUCUUCUUCCCAAUCUUGUAGGCUGUGUUGAAGAGACUUAUGACAGAUGUACCAUUCGGUGUUCUUUUGUCUGGAGGGUUGGACUCAUCACUCGUUGCUGCUGUGGCUUCUCGCUAUUUGGCUACAUCAGAAGCUGCACGUCAGUGGGGAUCACAGUUACAUACCUUUUGCGUUGGCUUGGAGGUAGUUAUACUAUCAUAUAUGAUAACAAAAUCUGACACGUGAUCAAAUGCAGUUCUCUUUUAUAUAACCAUAAUGUCAUCUUCAGUCCUCUUCCCUUCCCCUCUAUAGCUUAGAAAAUGCUACCUACACCAUUUUUUCAUUUUACAAACAAGAGAUGCCUGUUCAUAAAAGUAGACAACCUGAAUCGCCUUUAAAGAAGUAUAAAAUUCAACUAUGGCUGGGUUCUUGUUGUUCAGGUCUAAUUGCAAAAAGUGUGAUAGAAAGUUGUUAAGUUGGUAUAUUUAAAGGUUAAGCCGUUAACGGAAAGGUUCUUGGUGUCAAUGUUCAAUAGCCUUUCCAGUGCAAACUAUGGUACUGGAAUGGUUUAGAUGCACCCUCUUGUAGUCAAUUUUUAACAUAGAUGUUGUCUUUAUGAUACUUAUUCUCUAUGUUUAAAUGCUUUGCAUUUUCAAACUUCAGGGUUCUCCAGAUUUGAAAGCAGCAAGAGAAGUUGCAGAUUAUCUUGGAACUCAUCAUCACGAGUUUCACUUUACUGUUCAGGUAAUGUAUAAGGGAUGCAAUUAGAAGAAUAGUUCAUUAAGAGGGUCAAGGGUGGAAAUUAGUUUCUUCAAUUUAUUAUUUAGGUAUUCUUGUGCAAUUUUAGUUUCAGCUUAUUAAAUAUCUAAGGGUUGCUUGAAAUAGGAUUCAGACUAUUUAUAUUGAAUGGGGAUUGGAAAUAUAAAUUGUGUCACCCUAAAUUUCUAGCUCCCACUCAUUCUAUUUCUUCGUUGUAGUCCUCUCUCUCUCUCUCUCUCUCUCUCUCUCUCUCUCUCUCUCUCAUUCUCUUGCUUUUUUUCAUCACUUUUUUUCUACACCAAUAUUUUCAGUUUAGGUCUGGACUCUAGAUAUAUAUUAAUUCCAAGAACUAAUUUGUUUCUUUGAUUUGAUAUCUCAGGAAGGCAUAGACGCACUUGAAGAAGUUAUCUACCAUAUUGAGACAUAUGAUGUGACCUCUAUCAGAGCCAGCACUCCAAUGUUUCUCAUGUCUCGUAAGAUUAAAUCUCUGGGAGUAAAAAUGGUCCUCUCUGGUGAAGGUUCAGAUGAAAUCUUUGGUGGUUACUUGUAUUUCCACAAGGCACCAAGCAAGGAGGAGUUUCACCAAGAGACAUGCCAGAAGGUAUUCAUACACACUAUCUCUGGAUUGUUCUCUGCUUCUAGUGUUGCUGGAUUUUGUUUUACUACCCUUGAGGGUAUUUUUAUUAUCGACAUUUUGUGACUAUUCAACAGAUCAAAGCUCUUCAUCUGUACGACUGUCUGAGGGCCAACAAGUCGACUUCAGCUUGGGGUGUUGAGGCUCGUGUACCGUUUCUUGACAAAGACUUCAUCAAGACUGCUAUGGACAUUGAUCCAGAAUGGAAAAUGGUAGAAAAUCAUUAAACUUUCUCUUCCUCCAAUUUUUUCAUGUAUUGUAGUGAUUUAAGGCUUACCGACAUUUGGCAUAGUGAGAGCUCAUUAUAGGACUGUUGGGGUAUGAAUAUCGUCUUACGACUAUGAAAUGAUCUACUACAUGUGGACGUUGUUCCUAUUAUUGAUAUUGCCUCACAGAAGUUAUUUUUCUAAUCCACCAUGACUUUUUAUGUGUUGUGAACUCCGUCAUUUUUCAUCCGUUUUAUGCUGAGGUGUCGGUGUCAUACAUAAUCCUGCUAUGUCUAAUCUAAUGGACGAUCUAUGGUAUACUUAGUCUUAUUAGAUUAUAUCUUCAUUGGUGCAGUGGCAUUACUGGGAUUGCCUUGUUUUCGUGCCAAAUUUAAUUGAAAGCAAAAGUUAAUAUUUUAUUCAUACAUCUGAAUAAUUGCAUUUGUAACUGCAGAUCAGGCCUGAUCUUGGGAGGAUCGAGAAGUGGGUCUUACGCAAAGCAUUUGAUGAUGAAGAGAAGCCAUAUUUACCAAAGGUUGCUACCUUUUUGCCCAACCAUUUCAUUUUGCAUAUCCUUUCUGUUUUAGAAAAUUUUCACCUUCUUGGAUACUUAUGCACAUUUCCACUUUUUCCUUGUGGGUUAUAGCACAUAUUGUACAGGCAGAAGGAGCAGUUUAGUGAUGGUGUUGGUUACAGCUGGAUUGACGGCUUGAAAGAUCAUGCCAACAAACAAGUAUGCUGCAUUUUCUACUUGCAUUUAAUUUUGGACAGAAAUGUUCUCUUUCCAACUAGUCUCAUAUAUAAUGUUUCCAUGCUCCCCAACCAGGGCCGUGGUUAAAUUGAUUCAAGCUUAAGUGUGUUCCAUAUUAAGAUUUAUAACCCAAAUUUUGCAUGAUAAAAUUUCUUGUUCUAUGAUAUAUUUCAUGUUCGCUAGUUCAAAUUAGAGGUGCAGAAUCUAAACAACUCAGCUAAGAAGACACUUGAGAUACUGCUUCUUCCUUAGCUGCAUAGAAUUAAUAAAAUCUUCAUUUUUGCUUCUAACUGGACAGGUAUCAGAUUCAAUGAUGAUGAAUGCAGGCUUUAUCUACCCUGAAAACACUCCAACCACAAAAGAAGGAUACUACUAUAGGACUAUCUUUGAGAAAUUUUUUCCAAAGGUGACCUACCUUUCUCCCCAUCUCUUACAAUAUCAGUUGACUGAAUUAGAUCAUUGUUUGUUUAGUAUGUUCAAAAUUGCUAUUUUAUGGACAGAAUUCUGCGAGAUCGACAGUUCCUGGUGGUCCAAGUGUGGCAUGCAGCACAGCAAAAGCUGUGGAGUGGGAUGCAGAAUGGUCCAAGAACCCUGAUCCAUCUGGUCGUGCUGCCCUUGGUAUACAUGCAGCUGCCUAUGAGGAGUCAAAAGAUGUGAAGACUGGAAGUCUUGUGAGUGACUCUCCACAGAAACUUGUAGAAGGGGUUGCAGGGAAAGUGGUGGGAGUAGUUUGAAUGUUACAAAUGAUCGAAAGGAACUAGCUAGAAUGUUAGCAAAUGUCAAAAAUGUUACAAAGGUACUAGAAUGUUACAAAUGCUUUUUCUACUGUCGAAAUUACAUUGACUAUGUUCUUUUGGAUUAAUGGAACAAUGUCAGAUAAGAUAUACUUUAGAUUGAUAUUUAAUCUGAUUCUGUGGCAGAUGAGGACCAGAAGGCCUUGUAAGGAAUUCCUCACGACUGUUAGUAGUUUACUCAACUAGGGCCUUGCUAUUGUCUCUUAGAUGAGACCAGACUACUUGAUGCUUAUAUAUUCAAUUUGUAAUUUUCUUUGACCAGGAUACGAAUAUGUAGUUGGUUCAGACAGUUUAGACUUUAGACAGGUUGCUAUGUAUACUAUGUUUCUUAAACAUGCAGUUCGGCUUUUCCUUUAUUUUCUUAAGGUCCAUUCUUCCUGUUCGACAAGAAAAUUUCAAUGGUAAAACUAGAGCAGAAUCCAGAUUCAGUAACUUUGUUGUCUGAUCCGGAGUGCAUGUUAUUAUGGAGACAGAGAUUAUAAGAAGGAACACAGUUUUUUCAAGAAAUGGAUGCCAAUUUUAUUGAGAAUAUCAAAUACAAUGAGAAACAUAAGCAAAAAGAGUACAACUUAGAAGAGUAUCCUUUGGAAACUCCAUGAACAUAAUUACAAUUGCUAUUUCAGAUAUUUACAUUGUCAUUCCCCUGAUACACAACUAGAUUCAAGAACAAAACAAAACAUUUGGUUGAGGACAUGAGCAGCUUCUUUCCCAUUGCACUUGAGCCCUGAAACUCAAAGUUAACUCCUCCGUAGACGUUUCUGACUAGUCUCCGGGCAGCAUUUGGCAUGGACUAUAGGACCCAACUGUGACCGAUCCAUCUCCGGCGCUGGUCCCUGAGGCGCAUUCAAGUACACAGCACCUUUGUACAUCCACUCAUCUGUGUCAUGGCUAUAAAACUCAACAAAAGCAUCAGUGCACAAGGCACAUUUACUCUGAUCCUCGUCGGCAGGAACAGCCAUUUCUUCAUCACUACACUUCCUCUUCUUAUCAGCAGCAGGCAAAGCUACUCCAGAAACUAAUACCUGAGCCUCAACCUCUGCAUCAUUAACAAGCCACAUGCUUGUAGUUGCAUAAAAGUUACGAGAGCGUUUAUGCUUGCUCUUCUUGGACAUGCGGUUCUUCUUGACAUGCCAAUCCAUAUGGCUGCUGUGCUCUUCUUGACACUUGAACCGCAGGCCACAGCUUUUGCAUUGCUUUGGCAGACCACUCUCAUACAAGGCGUUUAGCACAGAUUCGCGACGCAGAUUUAAAUCAAGGCCAGAAAACUCACAUCCCACCACAGCAUCCUUCUCCUCUUUCACUACCGGGAUUUGAUUCUUCAGCGAGAUCACACCUUGUGCGAGGAGAGAAUCAAUCAAACUAGGAAGCACUAUUGGAACAUUAGUACUACUGUUUGGAACAGGCAAUGAGUUUAGUGAACUAGUAGCCUCCUGUCCUCCUCCGCUUUGGUUUUUCAAUGAGAUCACACCUUGUGCCAUUAGAGACCCGAGUAGACCAGAGACUACUGGAGUCACGGCUUGCGGUGGUAGACGAUGAGGGACAGAAGUAGAACCACAGGGACCUUGAAAAGUGUACCCACCCGAUUGAUAAGGCGGCACUGGGGUUUGUGGAGAUGGGUAGAAACCUGGUCGAGGUGGGACAAAUUGGGGCUGAAAAUGACCGACCGGCGGCACCUGGUUGCGGUGAUUAGCCGGAAAAGGCAUGUAGCGUGGCUUACAUUGCAUCAUCUUGACAAGUUUCUGUUGUGCCAAGAAUUCUGGAGAAACAGGAAAGAGGAUUGAGAUAUGGAAACUUAAGAGGACAGGGGUGUGUCUGUUUUAUAAGGUUUUGAGAAAAGGAAACUUGAUGAGGAAUCCUUGUCGAGUUCGGAUUCGAGGUUUCCGAAUCCUUGUGGGCAAAGGAUUUGAAGGAUCUUCCAACUCAGUUCCGACUUGUACAGCUGUACACGGAUAUUUUUUUUUUUCAUAAAUUAAUUUGACUUUGUCAACUCUUAUAGGAAAAGACAAAUAAGGACAAAUAUAUAACUACCAAAAUGAGGAAAAUAAAAAUAAUUAUUGUAUACAUGCCUCUUUUAGGCCCUGCUCAAUUUGACGGAGAACCCAGAAAAUUUCUAGGGUAUAUCUUCCACUUCUGAUCCACACCAGAAAAAAAAAAAAAAAAAAAACCCAAAAAAGCUUUCAUUGUUAGGAAGUAUGAAAAAAGAGUAAAAAAAACGUUAAAUUAAGAAGACAUGGUGCUAGUCUUCAACUGGGAAAGUGAUGCAUGAUAUAUAUGGUGCUAGUCUGAGAAAGUAGAUUAAGAAAAUAUAUGGUGCUAGUAUAUAUGAGACAGUAGAUUAGGAGGAUGGAGGUCAGUCAGCACAUUAGUUUUCAAUUAAGGUGGUAAGUGGACAGCAAUUUCAAUUGUAUGUUUUGAAUUUUGACACAACAGAGUAGUGGGUUUUGAGUUUGGCAAUUGCUUCCCUUGAAUUGUAAUGGACUACUGGCUUUGCAAAUUUCAACUGCUUAAUUGAGUUGGUUAUACAUUCAUAUGAAUCAUCUAUAAACUAAGGACUAUAACUUCGAUGUUACAAGUGCUUCUACUUUUACCAAGAACUAAUCUUUUGAUCCCUAUCCUAAUAUAUUGUAAUAGACGGUCUUUGAUUAUUGUUCCAAUUCUGGUUUCGUACGUAGGUCAUUAUUGUUCAUCAGAUCCUUUCUAUGGCUUCUCAAGAGCAUGAUCAACUUCAUUCCUUAUUGUUUCCUUUAUGGCUCAAGGCCACAUGAUCCUUAAGAUUGCCAUUGGUAGACGAUUGGCACAAUGAGGCACGAUGGUCAUCGUUGUCACCGCACCGCUUAAUCCAGCCCGUUACAAUCCAGCUUUGAAUAACUGUGAUGGAGGAGAGAACAACAGAGAAAGUAAUUGUAAUUUUUUUCGGGGAUAGAAAAAUAUAGUGAUGGCAUACAAAUUGGUAGAAAGUUGGAGGGUAUUUUAGUAAGGAUAAAGAGGUAUACUUAGGUAUGUAAGUAUGUUAAAAUGUAAAAUUGAGAUGUAUUAAGCAACGAAGGUAUACACAAUAAAUUUGGAGGUGUAACUAAAAUCCUCUUUUUUUCUGUCAUGAAAGCCCAUUUUGUCAUGAGAAGUACCUACAUAUAUACGUCUACUCUGAUGUUAUUCAUGUGUUCAAGACUAUCAUCUCAAGAGACUUACCGUUGGAGCUUCCAAAUGUCUUAGAUCCUUCUUGCAAUCCCAUCCAACUAAAACAAGUUAAAGGUGACCAGAAACGGGAGAGUGGAAGAAGUAAGAAUAAUACGCAUCUUAAAUACCACAGCGGAAUCAUAGAAUCAUAGAGAGAACAAGAAUGGAAAUCAUCCUAUUUUGUCAUACCACAACGUCAAUGGUGGCAGUGGUUCUGAGCAGUUUAAAACUCUUUUUGGUGGCCAUCCGUUUAAAACUCUUUAUUUUUCUUAAUUGUAUUACGUUUUAUUUUAUUUAUAAUGUAACUAUCAAGGAGUUUAUUCUUACCAGAUAAAAGUCUAGUUCGAGAAAAAAAAAUAUAGUAUGAAUAUCUGAAUUGAUUAAAGUUUGUCAUAAUAAUUACUCAAUGUUCUUUAUGUAAGUCAAGUUCCCAAUAUCUUUGGGUAUUCUUCCACUGAAUCUGUUACCACCUAAAAUACAAUUCUUGAACGUUGGGAAGAUGUCGCCACAUAUUAUCGGGGAUGCUACCGUUCAACUCGUUAGCCCCCAACUUUACUUCAAGAAAAUGUUUACAUUGCCAUGACUUCUAUGCAGUGGCGGAUCUAGGAUCCGGUAAGUGUCUAGGCUAAUUAGAUGUGCAAAAUUUUUCUAGAAUUUCUUGAACCAAAUGGUAGACUCAUUAAAAGAAAUUUAUUGUAAAGAAACACUAACGGAAGUGUAGGAGUAUAUGAGAUAACAAUUUUUUUUUUUUCCAACAAAAUACUAAGAGAAAAAUAGAUUAAACCCAAAAAGGAAAGUGAAGAAAACGAGAAGGAAAAAACAUGCAGAGUGAUGACCCAUUUGGUUUGUAGUCACAAAGAAUAGAGAAAGAAGAAUAAUAUUGGAAAACUAGAUAAAAACAUGAGAUUGACUCCAAGAGGAGUCAAACCUUAGACAAUGUAAAGGUCAAGUUGGACAGAUUGCCAACCGAACCAAAGAAAACUUUGUUUACCAGCUGGUAUUCACAUGCUAUGGGCUGCAGCCUAGACAACUCACUACAUGUAUCCGCCCCUGCUUCUAUGGAAGUGGACCAUUAAACUGAUUGGCACCCAAAAUUCAACACUUGAAUAUUAGGAAGAUGUUGACAUAUAUUGUCCGGAAUUCUACCAUUCAAUUUGUUUCCAUAUAAGGCUAGGGUAGCCAAAUAUGACAUGUUGAAGAUAGUCGUAGGAAUAUGCCCUUUUAAGGCAUUUUCUUUGACAAACAAUUUUUCUAGCCGACUUGAGGUGCCGAUAUCAUUUAGAAUUUCUAGAAAAAAAAAAAAAAAACACGGUUAAUUGAUACAAGAACUAUGAUCUACUAUGUACUAUUUCAUUAAAAAACCUUUUAAAAAAAAAAAAAAAAAAAAAAACCUAAAUUUCAUAAGAAUUUGAAAAUAUACUAAUACAUAGUGUUUCACAAAGAUUUUGUUUUAAUAAAAACAAAACAAAAACAAAAAAACAAUAUGGGGCAUGCGGUGUAACAAAAUAUCCAUUUAAAACAACAAAGUUCAUGAGAGUCAUACCUUCAAAAUUAUUAUUAUCAAGGUAGAUCUCCUUCAACGUAGUUAGAUUCCCAAAUACUGUAGGGAUUCUACCUAUGAAGAACUUUUAAUUUUAAUUAGAAAUCAAUCUCUUUACCUUAAGAAGCUUGUUCGAGUUGUUCAAACUAGAGAGUCUGCUAAAUAUGUUUAAGAUAGAUUAAAAUGGCUACACAGUAGAUUAAGAUUCCAGAAAUUUUGCUAGCUAUAUGUGUUAGCUUGUACCUGAGAGUUGGUUAUAACUCAGAUCAAUUAUUUGCAGAGCAGAUAAGUUGAAGAAUGUAGCUGGUAUGGAACCUGAAAAUUGAUUACCAAGUAACCAGAAUUCUUGAAGUUUGGAUGAGGACCCAAACCAUGGUGGAAUAAGUCCCAUAAACUACUUGUAUCCCAAGUUAAUAAACUUCAACCGGCGCAGGCGAGCCAAUUCUGGUUUCAAGGUAUUGUGGAAACUGUUAUUUCCGAAAUCCAAAUCAACAAGAAAUGAUAAGUUGCCUAGCUCGGGAGGAAUGGUGCCGACGAGACCAAAGUAAGAGAGGUUCAACUCUGCGACUCAAUGAUGGCGUUCACCACAAGUGACGCCAACCCAGUUGCAAACAGGGGUGGUGGUUGACCAGUUGGUCAAGAUCAUGUUUUGGGGUCACUGUUGAUACUGGCUUUGAGAGCAAGAAGAGCAGACUGGUCAGUGGUGAUGUUAAGGUUGGUUUCUGCUGCCAUAGUUAAGCAGCUAACCGUGCAACAGAACAAGUAUACCAGGAAGAACCAAGUAACUGCUUCCAUUGUGCGAAUAAUGGAUAUGCAAAGUGGGUGGAAUUUGUUUUUUUUUUUUUUUCGUAUACAACAGAAGAAGGGUGGGAUUGUUACCUGAGAGAGAGAAGAGUCACAAGAGGAACUGGCUGGAUAUGUUGUAAUAAAUAUAGCCAAUUAGCCACCCUACAAAUUGAGAGAGGUCAGCUCUCUGCAUUCUUCAUUAAUCAGUAUUGAAAACCAAAACACGUUCUAAGACUUCACUAAUUAUGAUUGAGGAGGAAAUGUGAAUGGAUGGAAUCAUCAAAAUCCAAGAGAUGGUUCAUAUCAAGAUGGAAGACAAGCUCAAAGACUAUUAACAACAAAUGGACCCAUUUAAGUACGACUUCGAUGAUAUGAGACUCGUUAAAGUAGUAUCAUGGGUAUUCAGAUCAAAAAUACAUAUAUUUUAAAUAAUAUCAAUUUUAUCUGAAAAAUUAACAGAAAUUAUAUUUGUUGAAACAAAGCAUAACUUGAGAUACCAAAAUGUCCUCUUCUAAGCACUAAGGUACCGUAACAUGAAUUUACUGAUGAUUUUAACAUACCAAUGAACACAUGACAGAUAUGAGCUUAUAUAGUUCAACGUACUUGUAUCAUCAACCAGUGUAGGGGAUUUUCUCUGUCAAGAAAUAUAUCAUCAAAAGUAUUAGCCUUUACAAUCACUAUCUAACCAAAAUUGCUUGCACAUAGUGCUUAUGUAUUCUUUAUGUACAUGGAAGACUUGUAUUUACAAACUCCAAAAGGAAAGUCAUCCAUAUAAUGCAACACCGUUUGCAUCCAGCUCCAGAAACUAUAAUAAGCGUCAGCUAAGGUGGUUAUACUAACCACCAUAUCAAUUUGAGGUCCAGAGGGUACAUUCACCAUCGGCAAAUACCAGGUGCCUCCAUACGGCUUUGAGCAAGUACUUCCUCAUACUUGGUAGCAUACACAAAGCCCCAUAACUGCAUUACACUACUAUCAAUUAAAUGACUGACAUUUUUCUUUUACUUUGGAACAAAAAGAGCACUGAUUUGAUAACAUAAAUGCACAUUCAUUUGUAUGGGUGUAAGAGUGCUGUGGAAGGUGUGUGUAUGUUGGUGUGUCAGUGUGCUACUAAGAGAGAUAGAGAGACAUUGCGCACACCUCUACUUCUUUCACAUCAAAGUCUUCUGAGUUUGCAAGACAUGGAUUGCCAUAGGUUUCUGAAACUGAACUUGAUCCGCUCAAACUUGCACAAAGAUAAAAAUAAAAAAUAAAAAAAUAAAAAAGUUAGAAAAUACAGUAAAUUUGAGUAGAUAAAAAAGGCUCACUGAAAAUAAAGAACGCGAAGAGGCAAAGUUCUCACAGAUCACUGUUCAAAUAGAGUGCGAAAUGACCACCCCCGCCAAUAGCUAAAAAGUCAGUAGCGCACAAUGUGAAGUAGCGGUUGGCACCUGUAUUAACAUUAAUUCCAAACUAUUUAGUAAAAGAUAUUCCAUUCAGGUACCAAAGGAAAAAAAAAUUAUCCACCGGUUUGUUUAUCAAAAGACAGUUAUCUCAUAAAUGACAGACACAUGCAUAUUUCAACCGGCAACAUCCAAGUUGAGUUCUCAAGCAGUAAUUUUCUUUGGACGUAACAUAGUUGCGCAAGUAAAAUCUUAAUCAUUGCGCAAUUUAUGCCAAAGUUUUAAUUUUGCACCUACCCUUUGCUCGAAUUUCCUUGCAACUAUACUUCAAAGAAGCAAGGGGCUAAUUGGUGCAUUACGAAGGGAUAUAUUAUAAAUAAAUAUUGAUAAUCCAAGUUUAUUAUAGAAAACAAAAACUACAAAGAGGAUAUAUACAGAAGUACUUUAGAAGUAGUAUCUAUGAGUUUAUGUCCGCCAGUAUCAUGUAUUACUAGAAAUUGUGUAGUUAGAUAUUAAGCGAUUACUAGUUACGAUGUAUUAUGCUAUGACUCUUGUGCAGUAUUUUGACGAUUCCAAACCUAAGGUUUCAAAUAGGCCCUGAGGUUUGAAGAUAUAGUUCAGAAAGUAAUUACUUUAUACAAGCACUACAUCAGCAAAAUGAGGUGGUGAAACAAAGAUCCUAUGAUUGCAUUAUGUACAGGCAGUAAAGCUCUACCAAAAUCUAAAAGAUGAUUGAUAAAUAUAUUUUGUAUUAAAUUCUCUUCUACAAAGUUUGAAGGAGCACAUCCUUUACUAAUCACCAUAGCAUUUAGAACUUGCAGGAUACAGUAAAAUUUUCCACUAAUUCCAAAUAAUGAUCAAGUCAAAAACAUACAUUUUAAUUUUUAAAGUGGAUACAUAUGUAGAACCUACAGCAAGCAUGAGUAAGCAGAAGGUAUAAAAACUGCCUUCACUAUCUCAUACAUAUAUGAAAACCAUUUCAAGGCAUGCAAAGAGCUUCCACCUAGGCAAUCACAAAUUGAUGAUAAAUCAGAAACUGUGUUCCCUACGAAGCAAAAAAGAUAAAUUUGUACCUGUAGGGCGAUAUAUAACAGGAUCGCCAGAUGUAUUUGUGAAAACAAAUGUAUCAUUUGUUCCCUGUCCAAAACACCAGCAAAAAUCUAAUUAUAAAAGGGAAUAAUUGCUAGAUGGAUUCAUAAGGACAUAUCUGUUUCAGCAGGACCUGAUACUUCUUGUUGGUUGGUCUUAGAGGUGCCUCCACCAAGCCACCAAAAACUGCACCUUUACGGUCUCCAACAACCUGAACAAUUGACAAUGUAUCAUACAAAUAAUCAAGGCAAUUCUUUAAUGUACGGCUCAAGGAACUUGAUACAUGUUUGUACAUUAUAUUUUAGGCAGUAAUAGACAAUAAAUAAUUUUAUUGGAAGAGUUGAUUGGAAAUAAUUUUGAAUGGACUGAUGCUAACAGUUCCUGAGCAAUUACCAGCAAACUGAGGCCAGGCCAAAGCAUACUCCUUCUGUAUAGGGUUGAAAGUGAUAUGCCAUGCCUCCAUGUACUGCAAAAUAAGAAGAAUAUCGGUGCCAUUUGUAUAAUAAUCAGUUCAUUAUGAUAAAGAGACUAGAACUUCCAAAAUAUAUAACUAUGGAACUCCAAGUUUCUCUACCUAUACAGUAACAACCAUCGUCUUCCCUGAACUAGCACCGGGAAUGAACUGUAAAGAGCAACUCUAGCUUUCUCAGUAAGAAGUAAAGAAGGCUCUGAGAUGUCUGGCAGAUGAACCAAUGCCACAGGCUUCUGUGCUUUCUGCAAAUGCCUCAUCUCCACUCCAGCAAACUCAGACUCAUUCCCGUCAUCACCUUUCACAGCAAUACUACCCUUCCGCUCUUGACCCCGGUAACCGCCAAAUCUUGCAGCCUGGUACAUAGCUUUCCCAAGCGUGUGCUUCCCCUUAGAAAAGAAGCUUCUCUUCCCACCGUUGGCUUUCACCACCAAAUCAGACGAAGAAUUGCUCUUAUCCAUUUGCUCAUCAACCUGUUCAUCUGAACUUUUACUCUUAUCUCCCGACUCCGAUGUCGCUAAAAACGAGUACAGAAACGCAGUAAAUGAAGAAGUGUCAGGCCCAUCAACCGGAGUAGCUCCACUCUCCUCACUCAUUGACCCAUUUUGACUUCCUUUUGACCCCUCCACAUCUUCCUCCUGACAUAUAUAUUACGUAGUCACAGACACACACUCAAAAUUCAAACAAAACUAGCACAUCUAUAUAGCUAUGCAAUCUCACAGUACAAUGUUCCCCAACAACUAACAAAAUGCCUCCAUCAUUCUCACAAUUAUAACCUACUACUAUUUCUAGACAAAUUGAAGAACUGGGUUUUGCAGCCAGGGGUCCAAAACCUAGAAAAGCUUCAAUCUUUGGAGCAAUCAGAGAGUUGGGUUCAAUACAGAACCACCAAACACAGCAUAAAAGUAAAAACCCAGAAAGGGUAUUGGGGAAAGAAAGAUAGAGAAGUUGCUUACAGGAGGAGGAGGAGGAGAGGGUUUGGAGGGUUUGUCAGAGAUGGGGUUGAGCAAUCCAGUAGUGAUAUCAGUGACAAAGUGGGCCGCUUUGCUGCGGAGACUGCGUGGCCUACCCAUGUGUGUCUGAUUUUGACGACCUGCUUUGGUUUAUAUAAGACUGAUCAGAAUCGAUUCCCACCGCUCAUAUAUUGGUCGGAUUAGAAAAGAUUAUGGGUAUAUGAGAUUUAGUUCCUAAUAUUCUGAGUUUGUUUCGGAAAGUUUUUUUUUUUUUUUGGGUUCUCCGGCGGGUAGGGUGGUGGAGAUCGUUGGGCAGAUAAAAAGGGGGAAGCUUUGGAAGGAAGAGAAGAGUGAGGUCAAAGCUACUGUCUUUUCAAGCUACUUGGGGCCUCACCUAAGAAAGUUCGCACCAAAUUUGGAUAGACUUUGGGUAACGAUUUUAUAUACUAGUUAAGUCGUGAAGGUCAACAAGGACUUCAUGGCCCAAUGGAUAAGGCGCUGGUCUACGAAACCAGAGAUUCUGGGUUCGAUCCCCAGUGAAGUCGUUUUUUUUAGGUAAUUUGGGUUGAGGCUAUGUCCCUCUCCCUCCUCCAUCUUUUAAUUUUGAACGAGGUCAUCGGUGAUCUUUAAGUGGGAAUAGGCAAUGUUUUGGAAAACUCGCAUUAUUACGGUAUUGAUUAAAUAAUUAUAGAAACGACAACAUGUUCAGUGACUAUUGGCAAUUGUGACGCGACUUCUCAACGUCCCUUAAUGCUCAAGUUAAUGCAACAUGUCUUCUUGUACGAAGCAACUUCGUCAUAAGGUGUCGGUUUCUUUAAAACCACGACCAAAUUGCACCACAAUGAAAUGUGAUCUUUUUAAAUUUCUUCUUUUUUUUUUGAAUAAUUUAAAUUUCUUCUUAUGUAAGGUGCUUUUUCAAAUUAGGUACUUCAAUUUUGAAUGGUAGAAGAUAGUCAAAAUCACAAUUAUUUGAUAAACAAGGUAUGGCAUUAAAUGUCAUUAUAUCACUUAUAAAUGGAAGUUUCAAUCAUGUACUUUUGAUUUAUGAAAUUUUCCUAUUGAAUUUCAAUCGACCAGAAAAUUCGCCGGAAAUUUACUCUAUCGUCUUUUUAUACAAAAAUGAACUCAAUCUUUUCUUUAACCAAAUUACCAAAAGAAAAUAUACUCUUUCUAUUUAAACUUUACUUUUACCAGGGGAGCCUAGGAGAGCAGAAGGUGCCACAGAUUCAGCACAAGUGUGCUCUGUGCUCAAAUCCAAAGAAGCCGCGUCCAAAAUCUUCAACGUGCUCUUCCGGGUCCCACCGACUAAUGUGUAUCUGCCGCGUCCUAGCUUUCCACGUGGCUCAUCAUCAGAUGUGUACGUACAUUAUCCCCUAUUAUCUUACUCCCACCUGUCAACACCAUCCCUCAUCAUUGUCCUUGUCCAAAAUUAGGAAAAUAGGAAAAUCAUCCCCCUUUUUUUACGGUGGUUAUAAAAUUAUUUUCCUAUUUCAUCCUAUAAAAAGCAAGCCCCCUGGUCUCUUUGUAUCAUCUAUCAGUCUCUCUUCUAGUCUUGUUAUUACAUACACUGCGAAAAAUGGCGACUCUUCAAGUACCAGCUUGUGUUCCUUCUCCUGCUGAGGACGCUGAGCAGCUUAAGAAGGCUUUUGAAGGUCUUUUACUUCAACACUCUUAAUCUCUAUGACUAUCGAUCACUACAUGCAAUCAUUCAUAUAAUCUGAUCUUGUUCUGCGUUUUGUUGGUUUGAUUGAUCUGGUCAUGUGUCUGUUAUGAUCAUCUGAAGUUUUGAUCCAUCUACUUGUGUAUGGUUUUUACCUUUAUGUGAAUUCUGGGUACUGAGUAUGACUUGGAUGUUAUCUUUACAAAUUAAGCUUAGAAUGUCAAUGCUAAUAUGAUCAUGAUGAUGAAGGGUUUUUUGUUUGUCAAUGUUCUUCGAUUCAUUAUUGGUGGAUCAAAGUUUAGAUCUGGAUAGUUUGAUCAGUUAUCUGGUGGAGCCAGUUUCAGGUUCACUGUUGACUGACAAGUAGCUUGAAAUUUGAGAUGUUGAUUUUCAUGUAUUCUGAUAUGGAUGAUCUUGAUCAUCUAAAGAUCGAUCUUGUACUAAAAUUUUUUUACUUGUGAGUUGUGAUUAUGUGGUUUCUGUGUUUAAGUAUAAUGGGGUUGCAACCUCUGUGAAAUUCAGAAUCAUAUAUGACCGUAAAGAUCAAGUAGGAUCUUCUUUCUCUUAGAGUUUUCUUUCAAUUUUGUUGUUAACAUUUUCAUUGGAGCAAUGUAUCAGAUCUGGAUCUGCUUAACAAAUAUUUUUUGUAGUCAUUGAUCACUAUUGACUGUAAACUUUUCUGGCCACUAAUUAUGGCAAAAGCAAGGCCUUAGUGCUAAACCACUAUAUUCUUUAUCUGACUUUUUCUGAUUCAUCCACUCUGAUAUCUAUAUCAAUCGGUUCCUCUGGCACAUUAUUCACAAGUUGACCUCCUUCCUUGAAUAUUUCAUUGGAUCCUAUUUUCUUAAUUGGCAAAUUUUUAUUAUUCUUUUGAUUACUGUAGUUGAGGUGAGUAACCCACUUACUUUGAGCAGGGUAAACUAUAUAUAGAGACAAUUAUGAACACUUGUUUUCUCAAUUAAGAUACUAAGUUUCAUCUUAUAAACAUAAUAAUGGUUGCAUGUAUCACUCCUUAACUCUCAAAGAGUUUCGACUUUCCUAAUUGCAGUAGUAGAGGAGUUGACCUUAUUUAGAUCAUUGCCUCCUAUUCUUAGAUAGAAUAUUUCUGAGCUAACUUUGGUAAUUUGUACGCAGGAUGGGGCACAAAUGAGGGGUUGCUCAUUUCCAUACUGGCUCACAGGAAUGCUGACCAGAGAAGACUAAUUCAGCAGACCUAUACUGAAACUUAUGGAGAGGAUCUUCUCAAGGCACUAGACAAAGAACUCUCAAGUAAUUUUGAGGUCCGAUUUUGAAUAAUUUUUCAUUUAUAGAUGCACACUAUUUUGCAACUAAUUAUAAAGCAGCGUGUGAAUGAUGUAUCUCAUUUUAAAAGGAUACUGAUUGAUUUUUUUUCAUAUUUUGUUGCAUACCAGCGUGCUUUGCUGUUAUGGACACUGCAUCCUUCCGAGCGUGAUGCAGUUUUGGCUAAUGAGGCUAUAAAGAGGUUCACUUCAAGCAAUUGGGUUCUCAUGGAAAUAGCUUGUUCUAGGUCUUCACAUGAACUCCACAUGGUAAAGCAGGCUUACCAUGCUAAGUUCAAGAAAUCCCUUGAAGAGGAUGUUGCAUUUCAUACAUCUGGAGACUUCCGCAAGGUACAACUUUGAACUUCCAAAAUGAUUAGUCAUUUUAAUUGUGCUCUGAAUUUUUUAGUUGGUAUGUUGUAAUGAUUAGUCAUCUUUUGUAUUAUCUAUAUUUAAACAUGUUCACCUACAAAGUCACUUCUGCAGUUCUGCACAUAUAUCCCAGACACUGACCUUCCUUCUGCGUUAAAUUUUUUUUUUUUUUUUCUUCCUUUGCCUUGGUUGCAAUUUAUACAUUUUAAUUUAUCAUUUGUUUUACUCUUGACUCUGUUACAGCUUUUGGUUCCUCUUGUGAGUGCUUUCCGAUAUGAAGGAGAUGAAGUGAACGUUACAGUGGCAAAAAGAGAGGCUAAGCUACUUCAUGAGAAAAUCAAGGACAAACACUACAAUGAUGAGGAGCUCAUCAGGAUCAUCUCUACCAGGAGCAAGGCACAGCUAAACGCUACUUUCAAUCAGUACAACAAUGAGUUUGGAAAUGCCAUUACCAAGGUAACCAUCUCUGCGAACAUUCAGAUAAUGUGAAAUGCCAGGAAAUGUGGAGUUCAAAAAUUGAUAGAUUAUUGUAUUCAGCUAUUUCAUUUGACCAUGUAAACCACAUCCUUAAUUGGAUUGCUGCUUGAGUGAAAUUGCUUGUACUAAAACUGAUAGUGUGGCAUCUAAUAUGCAGGAUCUGAAGGCUGAUAAGGAUGAUGAAUUCCUCAAAUUACUAAGAGCAACUACCAAACUCUUGACCUACCCUGAGAAGUACUUUGAAAAGCUUCUUCGUUUGUGUAUCAACAAGCUCGGGACAGAUGAAGGUGCACUUACUAGAGUUGUUACUACCAGGGCAGAGGUUGACCUGCAUCGUAUUAAGGAAGAAUACCAACGCAGAAACAGUGUUACUCUGGCCCAUGCAAUUCAAAAAGACACUAGAGGAGACUAUGAGAAUCUGCUUCUGGAACUGAUUGGACAUUCAGAUGCCUGAGCUUUGCUGCAAAACCACCCAGAAUAAAGAUGAACAGAGUUUUAAGUUAUUUGCAAUGUCUUCUUUGCUUCAAAAUGCAUCUUUUUUAUGGUUGUGUAGACCCUUGUCUAUUUAUGUUUCUAGUCUGGCAACAGGACAAUUAUGGAUUGAUUGAGUUGAUGUUGUUUAUGGAUUGAGUUCCUGCUGUUAUUGGAUUUAGCCUUGAGUUAUAUAUAAUGAGUUUUAAUCACCCUUGCCUCUUUUUCUCUAUGAAGGAAGUGAUAGUAAACUUAUCAUACUAGUAUGUACGUAGUGGAACAAUCUUGGAAUAUAAAUCGAACUCGUUGCCCAUUUUAGUGAUCCAUAGCUCCAAAGGUCCAAGUUUCAGCUUCAUCAUUAGCUACUCAAAAGCAAUUUAAAACCAGGCAUCAAGCACUAUCAAAGAUGAAAGAGAACAUCCUUCUCGUAUGAAAUCCAAGUUAUGACCCCAUCAAACAUGCUAAACUCAUUACUUUGUUGGCAAAAUUGGAAUGUCAAAAUGAUGUCAUUUUAAGAUACACUCUUGCUAAUCCAGCUUCUGUUGUAGCAGCUGCUGCUACUGCAGGGUCUGCAGCAAUUCUAGACACCACUCAUAUAUUUGCAAAUGCAGAUUAUAAUGGAGGUUGUAAUAGGCAACAUUCUCCUUGUGUUGUACUGAAAAUCAACUUUGACAGGUUCAAAUUAACUUUGUAAUUAGCUAGAGGGCUUUUCAUCGGAAAUUCUGAUGAUGUUCCUCUAGAUGCAGCUACAAAUGAAGAUCCGAACGACUUCCAGUUGUAGAAACACACUUUGAGACGACCUUUCUAAAUUCUAGUGCCUUUCAAAAUGGCUAUCUUAGUUGAGGGCGAUCUCAAUCUUAUCAUUAACUGCGUCAAUAGUGUCAUUUCACCACCUUAAAGACUCAUGAAGAUUGUCUAAGACAAAAAAAGACUUGCACAUAAUUUCAUGGCAAUGUCUUUCAACCAUAUCAAUGAAAAGACGAAUUUUGUAACAGAUGCAGUCGCAGACCUUAGUCAUUGUUAUUUAGACAGUUGAUUGUGGAUCGAUACUAUUUUCUUAUUUCUUAAGGAACCUUCUAAUACCUCCGUCUUUGACUCUCUAAACUUGAGUUGCCUCAAUGACUUUAAUAUUUAGUUUAUUUUGGACUUUUCUUAUUAAAUUACGAAAGCCAAUCAUUCAAUUGAUUUAGCAAAACAAAAAGGAAAAAAAAAUUGUAAUAAAAAAAACAAAAAAGGGAAAGAAAAAAAGUUAGUUAUCAUCACCAUGGGGAGCCUAGAAGGCGCCACAUAUUCAGAACAAGCGUGCUGACUGCUGAGCUCAAAUCCUGAGAAGCCGCGUCCGAGAUUUCCAACGUGCGCUCCCGGGUCCCACUAGGUCAAUGUGUAAAUGCCGCGUCCAGGUUUUCCACGUGGCUCAUCAUCAUCAGAUAGGUACCUACAUUAUCUCCUAAUUAUCUACUCAGCCUAGGGAUGGCAAUAAUCCCCAGCGGGUAGGGUACCCACGGGUAUUCGACCCUAACGGGGNNNNNNNNNNNNNNNNNNNNCUUGAAGAGCUUGACUUUUAUAUGCCAUGCAGUUUCCAGGGUAAGGCCAAGUCCUUUGGCACAUUACGUACUGUCUCUCAAAAAGUAUAUAUGCUCUUAUCAAAAAUCUUAAAUUCAACUUAAGCUAAUAUUCGAGUGAUCGACAUCUUAAGUUGAAUAAUCAUAGAAGACAAUAAAUCAAAACCAGGCUUCAAAUGUACUGGCAUGGGAUGACAAAUUGAGUCAAAAGUUAGGUAUUUGUGAUGGUGAAUCUUAGAUUCUCAUGACCAGGUAUUUUGUUUCAGUUUCUCCCAAGGAAGAAAAUUUCGGUGAUUACGGAAAUUUCGACCCUCCAAAAUAUGGAAAUUUCGACGGAAAUUUCGGGGAAAUAUCGAUUGUAGUAAAAAAAAUGAGAAAAUUGACGGAAAUUUGAAGAAAAACAAGGAAAUUUUAAACCAAACUUUAAGAGAUGUUUGUUUUCUAUAUUAUGUACUAUAUUUGAAAUGAAAACCUUAAAUAAAUAUUGAUCUAUUGGGAGUUUUAGUAAGUUAAAGUGAAAAUGUUAGUGUUGAACCGUUAAUAAUUCUUAAAAGUUUACUUUAAACUUUUUAUUUUAUUUUUUUGUUGGCUGGAAACCUAAAGGGAGGCUAGGCCAUCAAGCCUUAUAUACAUAUGAUACAUUUCACAUAGAAUUACAUGAGUACUUUGAAACCACGUAGAAGACCUAUGAGGUAUAAAAUUUUAAAUUUUCACUAUCUUUUUCGUCUCUCUAUGUAGAGCCUUCAGUGUAUUGUGAAUAAUAUACCUCACUUUUGUAGUUUUGCAUGUAUUGACUAGGGAUGGCAAUAAUCCCCAGCGGGUAGGGUACCCACGGGUAUUCGACCCUAACGGGGAAGAUAUACGGGUAUAAACGGGUAACGGGGAUGGGGAUUCCCAGUAUUCAGAUUCUUAAAUCGGGUACGGGGCGGGUAUGGUAUUUUGAUAUUCGUCCCCAUCCCCACCCAUUAAAGAUGAAAAUAAUAUUAUAUAUAAUUAUAUAAUUUAUUAUUAUAUAUAUUUAUAUAUAAUUUAUAAAUAAAUAUUUAUGUAAAAAAAUUUGUGACUCUCUUAAUAAACAUUUAAUGGACCUUCCUUUUUAUUAUAUAUUAUUAUUCUCUUAAUGAAAUUUACUAGUAUUGUUCUGUUUUAACCAAGACUUGUAUUUUAUUUUUAUUGGAAUGAAACCUUAUUUAUUUUGGUAUUUGAUUUUAAUUUCAUACUUUUAUAUAAUUGUAUUUCAUAUUUUUAAAAAAAAAUUAUUUAAUACAUAAUUGUUAACGGAUACGGGUACGGGUAUGGAAAUGUAAUCCCCAAAGGAUACGGGUACGGGGAAUCCCCAUUAUCUAAUUACGGGUACGGGGACGGGUACGGGGAUGAGAAAUAUAAAAGGGUAUGGGUACGGUAUUUUGAUCCCCAUACCCUACCCUACCCAUUGCCAUCCCUAACUCAGCCUGUCAACACCAACUCUCAUUUUUGUCCUGUCCAAAAUCAUCCCCCUUUUUUUACAGGCGGUAAUUAGUAAAUUUCCUGUUUCGGUCCUAUAAAACCCAAACCCCCCCGGUCUCUCUUUGCACCACCAGUCUUCUUGUUACAGACACUGAGAAAAAAAAUGGCGACUCUUAAAGUACCAGCUUGCGUUCCAUCUCCUGCUGAAGACUCUGAGCAGCUUAGGAAGGCUUUUGAAGGUCUUUUACUUAACACCAAAAUGCAGUCACUUUAAAUACAUACCCUGAUCUUGUUCUGGCUGUUAUUGUUUUGAUUGAUUUGGUCAUGUCUCUGUUUUGAUCUGAUAUGCUUGAUCGAUCAUCUUAACUUUGAUGCUUCUAGCUGUUUUCUUGGUGUUUUUUUUUUGCUUCCAUGUGAUUUUUUGUUCUAUGUGUUAUUGGGAUUGCCAUGUUUAUAAAACUUACAAUGUCAAUGAUAAUAUGAUCAUGAUUCAUAUAGUUUUUUUCUUUUUCUCUCUCUCAAUGUUCUUGGCAAUGAUCCUUUUUGGUGGAUCAAAGUUUAGAACUUCAGAUCUGGAUUUUAUUUUAUAAGUUAUCUUGUGGAACCAGUUUGUGGUUUGGAAGCUGGUGUUUGAAAUGUUUUGUUACAAUCUGAUAUGGACGAUUUUGAUAAUCUAAAGCUUGAUCUGCUUUGUGAGUUGUGAUUUUGUGUUUCUGGGUUUUAAAUGUAAUGGGGUUGCAAACAUUGUAAAGUUCAGUAUGUUUGAUCAUGAUGAUCACGAAUUCACGAUGGAUGUGUUAGCUUAUUCUUUCAGUUUCACUGUUAUCGUUAUUGUUGGAUAAAAGUGUUGGAUCUAGAUCUCUUUGACAAUUAUCCUGUGGAGUGAUAAGUGAGGCUCACUAUUGACUGGAACCUUCUUUAGCAUAUAUUUAAACAAUAGUGGUUAUUAGAUUUAUGGCGAAAGCAAGGCCUUAGUGCUAAACCACUAUACCUCUGUAUGACUUUUUCCUAGUAAUCCGCUCAAAACUAUACUAGUUUCCUUGCUCAUUGUUCACAUGUUGACCACCUUCCUUGAAUCUUUCAUUGGUUCCUAUAUCUGAUUGUGGUAGCUGAGGUGGUUUAACCGCUGUAAGCAGGAAAGUCAUAAACUAUUGACACAAUUAUGGACACUUGUAUUCUCAAUCAAGAUAAUAAGUUUCACUUUAUAAAAGUAAUAGUGAGUGGCUAGACCCUUGAGUCUCAAGAGAUUCAAAGAUUUUUCUAAUAGCAGUUGGAGAGGAGGUGAAAUGAAAAGGAGCUGACUUUUUCUAAUAGCUGCAUGUGUCUAUUGAUUUUAUGGUCUUCUAUUCCUGAACAGAACAUCACAAGCUAACUUUUGUAAUUUGUAUGUAGGAUGGGGCACAAAUGAGGCACUGAUCACUUCCAUAUUGGCUCAUAGGAAUGCUGAUCAGAGAAGAUUAAUUCAGCAGACUUAUGCUGAAACUUAUGGGGAGGAUCUUCUCAAGUCACUGGAUAAAGAACUCUCAAGUGAUUUUGAGGUUAUAUUUUGAUUACUCUAUUCAUUUAGAUAGAGGUAAAGCAGCCUUUUCUAGUUUCAAGUGCACUGAUUUGUAUGCUUGGUUUUUCUUAUUUUGUUGCGCACCAGCGCGCUGUGAUGCUGUGGACACUGCAUCCUUCUGAGCGGGAUGCAGUUUUGGCUAAUGAGGCUACAAAGAGGUUCACUUCAAGCAAUUGGGUUCUCAUGGAAAUAGCUUGUUCUAGGUCUUCAUAUGAACUGCUCCAAGUAAAGCAGGCUUACCAUGCUAAAUUCAAGAAAUCCCUUGAAGAGGAUGUUGCAUUUCAUACAUCUGGAGACUUCCGUAAGGUACAACCUUGAAACUCCAAAAUGAUUAAUCAUUUGAUGUGCUCUGACGUGGCUAGUUGGUAGAUUGAUAUAUAUCUAAGUGUCCAUAUUAUUCAAACAUGUUCUUGAUUAUAAAUUCAAUUAUUAUCCUUCCAGAUAUUCUGCACCUUAAUCUUAGACACUGACCUUCUGGCCUAGAUUUUUUUUUUUUUUUUCCCUCCUUUCCUUGAUUGAUGUUUAUGCAUUGUUUCAUCAGUUAAUCAAUAUGUAUGACUUAACUUUGACUCUGUUACAGCUUUUGGUGCCUCUUGUGAGUGCUUUCCGAUAUGAAGGAGAUGAAGUCAAUGUUACAGUGGCAAAAAGAGAGGCUAAGAUACUUCAUGAGAAAAUCAAGGACAAACACUACAAUGAUGAGGAACUCAUCAGGAUCUUCACUACCAGGAGUAAGGCACAGCUGAAUGCUACUUUCAAUCAGUACAACAAUGAGUUUGGAAAUGCCAUUACCAAGGUAAUAAACAUCUCCCUCUGAUACAUAUGGUCAUGCAAAUAAUUUGAAAUGCCAGGAUGUAUACUCGCUCUUCAUUUGAUUUGAUGAUAUCUUGCUGCUAUUGAAACUGUUAAUGUGGUAUCUAAUAUCCAGGAUUUGAAGGCUGAUCAAGAUGAUGAAUUCCUCAAAUUACUGAGAGCAACUGCCAAACUAUUGACCUUCCCUGAGAAAUACUUUGAGAAGCUUCUGCGUCUGUGUAUCAACAAGCUCGGAACAGAUGAAGGUGCCCUUACUAGAGUCAUCACCACCAGGGCAGAGGUCGACCUGCAUCGCAUUAAAGAAGAAUACCAGCGCAGAAACAGUGUUCCUUUGGACCGCGCAAUUGAGAAGGACACUUCUGGUGACUAUGAGAAGUUUCUUCUGGCACUGCUUGGACAGGGAGACUGUUGAGCGUCGUUCCUAUUCCCAGAAUAAUAAUUAUGAAGACAGUUCAUGUUAUUUGCCAUGGCUGGUCUUUGCUUCUUUUUUUGGACUGAGCUAGUCUUUGCUUGAAUUCAUCUUUUAUAUGGUUGUGUGGACUCUAUACUAUUUAUCUUGCUAGUCGGGCUACAGUAAGAUUAUGUAUCUGAGUUGGUGUUGUUUAUGGAGUUGCUUGGAGUUCUAUAUGUUAAUUUUCAAUUCUCCUCUUUUUCUUUCAGAAAAUAAUAAUCUUACUACAGAAAAUAAUAUUGAACAGUUGAACAGUCUGUAAGCUAACAAAAUCUCUUGAAUUCAUACGUCGUUGCUCAUCCGAGAGCAACAUAGCUCCAGAGGUCCAAGUUUUGGCUUCAACCAGGCAGCAUCAAUGGUGAAGAGAACAUCAUGAAAAGAUAGAAACUAAAUACUACUACGAGUUUAUCCAUCAGACCAAGAAAAGAAUCUCUAAGCUAUUCCAGUAGAAUGAUUCGAGUUUUCUCACCCACAGAAAUCCUAUAUUCCUCUAAUUGCAGUCUUUGUAUAAACUGAUAGAUUCGCUUUUACAGCAAAGGGACAUGGACGGCAAAUAUGAAGUGCUAGAUUCAUUUUCAUUUUAUGUCAAAUGCAGAAUCUAACAAUCUAGUGUUCAAACUAUGGCUUAUCCACCUGAUUCAUACCACACCAAAAAUAAAGAUCUGAACAAUUAACUGCUGGCAUAGUUUAUAAAGAUUGGUCCAUGAACAAGUAAUUAGUAAACACUACAGUAAAAAAAAAAAGAAGUAAUUAGUAAACACAUACUUGAAACUGAUAAAGAAACUUGUAAUAACUAAAAAUAACCCAAUUAGCCAAACCUCAUGUUUUUCUGACUACAAGUUUUGCACUACUCGUCUAUAAAUAUAUCACUACUACCGUUUCAAAACUCAGGAUGCUGAUCAUCACAAGGGUAUGCAAGGGUUUUACAUGUCAAAACAGAGUUCACACUGAGAUCAACUUUAUUUGAAAUGACAGAAAGUGACCAGUUAGAGAUUAUGACAGCUUAAACCAAUGAUAUGCUGCUCUCGCCGCCAGGGGGCUUGCGAACACCACCGAGAUAGUCUCUUGAUGCCGCCUUUCCAUCAGCAAAAAUGUUGCUGCCACUCAUUUCUCUCAGCUUAGCUGUGCUCAGGGGCUUUUCAGCAGAUCCCGGAGAAACAUCUCCCUUAAAUAUGUCAUUGCCUGUCAGCUCUGCAAACUUCUGGUUAUGAAUUUUCUUGGAAGUCUUGACAACAGGGUCCUCAGUGAACAAGAUUUUACUCUGACCACCAGCAGGCUGUGUCAAUGUAAAGAAAUGUUUAAUGUCAAGUUAUAGAGGAAAAAAAAUAUCUUUUGAGAUACUUCAGCAUUAUCCGUUUAGUAUGAUAUGCCAGGGCACAUUAAUAUGAAGCAGCAGAUUCCCAAUUUACUGUUUGAGUUCAAUCUCACAACAUGACAUCUCAUAUCACAACAUCAAAUGCAAGACUUUUUUGACACAAGAACACUACCUAGCUCAUAGUUUUGCAUUAAAACCAGGUUUUAAGAUUCUUUUUGGCCCUCUAACUAGUAUAAUCUUAAGUGCAUUAUGGGGGCGGAUCCGUGACAUACAAGAAUAAAAUCAAAAUUAUAACCAAAAUAUCAACCAUUAGAUCUAUUAACAACUAACGGUUGAAAUUAGUCAUAAAACUAAAUUUUUUUUUCUUUUCUUUUCUUUUUAUUUAAAUCAAUUAAGGAAAUCUAUCUAUUAAAAACAUAAUGAAAAUUGAUGAUUACCUACUCUAAUUUUGGAAUACAAUUAAUAGGAAAUUAAUGGUUUCCUAUUGGAGAAAUUUUUAAGUGCUACGGGAGGACCAUGUGGCAAUCUGACGUGGUCCUACAUUCCAAUCAAAUUUAGACACGUGGAUUUUUUACAACUAAAAUGUAAACUAAUAUUUUCUAUUUUUUGUGAAAUGACAUUCAUGGGUAUUUAGCAAGUUCAACCUAGGGUUUAGGGUUUAGAGAUUAGGGUUUAGGGUAUAGGGUUUAAGGGUCUAGGGUUUAGGGUCUAGGGAUUAGGGUUUAGUAUUUAAAAAACAACAUAAAACCCAAAAUGGUCUUUAACAAAAUAGCUGAAAUAAUUUUUCAUGAAGAAAAUCCACAUGUCUAAAUUUGAUUGGAAAGUAGGACUACGUCAGAUUGCCACGUGGUCCUCCCGUAGCACUGAAAAAUUUCUCUUCCUAUUGAAACUCAUUUACUAGAUAAAAAAGGAAAAAAUAAAUAUCAGAUGAAGUCAUGAAACUCAUUUCCUAGAGAGUACCAUCAUCAUCUACCUCUUCUUCUUCAAAGAAAAAAAAAUUAUACAGAUGAUGUCUGCCACAACACGUUGGAAAACUUAUGAUCAGAUUAUGUAUGGGAGUACUCAUAUCAUCUUGUGCUAUGAACAACAAGAAGCUUUUUAUAAAAAAAACAAGAAGCUUUUGAUAAAAAAAAACAAGAGGUUGAAAUAAGUACAUCUAAGGUGCACUAGAUGCCACUUUCGACUACAGUCAAUUUUCUAAUGUGAUAUUUGAGACUUAAUUUGUUUUAUUUCCUCUCUAGUACAUAAGUUUCAAUAGGAAACAAAUUAUUUCCUCUUAAUUAUAUUCUAAACGGAGAAUAGUAAUCAUCAAUUUUUAUUUAGAUAGAUUUCAUAAUUUGAAUUAAAGAAAAAGAAAAGAAAAGAAAAAAGAUUUAGUUUUAUGACCAAUCUCAACCGUUAGUUGUUAAUAGAUCUAAUGGAUGAUAUUCUAGUUAUAAUUUUGAUUACAUCAAAUGCAAGAUUUUUUUGACACAAGAACACUACCUAGCUCAUAAAUUUUGCAUUAAAACCAGGUUUUAAGAUUCUUUUUGGCCCUCUAACUAGUAUAAUCUUAAGAGCAUCUUUAACAGACUCUCUGCUUUAACUCCUUAGCUAUUUUAGAGAGCGUGUUUAGCUUUUUUGAAUGUUUAGGAGCUCUAGCAGACUAGCCAAACUUAAGCUAUUAUGACUUUUAGCUAUCUCGUUAGCUAUAUUUAGCUAGCGAGAUGACUCAGAUGAGGCUAGCUAUAAUUUAAUACAUUCCUUGUAAGAUAUUUUAUGUGAUAUAUAAAUAUAUUUAAACUAUUUAAUUUCUAUUUGAAGAAUAAUGUUGAUGUAAUACUAACUAAAAUAGAGAGCAUUAAUGCAGCUAUAUUUCUAAAGCGGCUAGCCAAAAUGACAUUUUAGCUAAUUUGACUAAAAUUUAACUUAAAAAUGGCUAGCAUUGCUAAAGAUGCUCUAAGUGCAUUAUAUCUUAACUAUCUGAGUAUGGACAUAUAGGCAGGUACAUUGUUGUUUUGAGUUAUAUUAACAUAAAUUGUGCACAUUUUGGUUAGCUAACUAAAUAAUGUACCCUAUGUAUCACUAAUUCGAAUACAGAUGAUUCUAAUUAUCCCAAGUUAUAAUCCAGAACAAUUUAUAUUCCCAAACUGACCAAAUUAUCAUACUUAAACCUACACAAAGAGACCAAAAAAACUCGCUCACAUUGGAAACUUUGACAGAAGUUCGAAGAUUUCUGGGCGCUGGCUCCCCGGAAUCUUUACCCUGCUUAUUAUAGUCAUGGGUACCAACAGCAUUAACCGAUCGGGGAACAAUCUCUGGGGGAGGGCCAAAGAUGUCAUUUCCACUAAGCUCCUUGUUCUUCGCUUUUGAAAUCCCCUUCUGAGUCUUGGAAUCCAAUUCCGAUUGCAAAGUCCCACACAACUCCCUCUGCUUGGCCACCUCCGGAAUACUCGUCGGCUUCUUCGGGGUCACGUGCUCGUCAACGCUGAACGAGAUUUGACUGAUCCCGUUGACCGCCUGCUGGUAAACCCGACCUGGUUGUUCCGGCUCCGCAUUGCCUUCGCCAGCGAAUAUGCCGCUGCCGGAUAUCUCCUUCAGCUUGUAACCGGAACAGGGCUUCCUGUGUGAACCAAAAACACGGAUCUGAGAAGAAGGCUAAAAUCGGAAAAUAAAAUGAAGAAAUGUGCACUGCCGGAUCUAAAAUUAGAAACCGGAUCUUACUUUUUGUUCAGGCUCUGAGCUUCUUCCUCGGUGAUCUGACCGCCGUGGAGCACCUUGCUGAUCCCAUCCGACGGCUGUAAAAUCCAAUCCGCAGCUCAGUUAGCUACUUUGAUAAACUCAAUCACCGUGAUAGUUGGUUAGUUGGAGUAUGAGGGGGUAAAGAAGUAAAAUUUAACCUGGUGAGAGCGAUGUUUGGAGGGGGCGGUGGCGGGAGAGUCAGAGCGGGGGACCUCUUGCCACGUAAGCAUGUCAGCGGUGUCGCGGCGGGGCUUUCUCACUGGAGUGGCCAUUGUUGUUGCUGAUGUCUAUACCGCUCUCUCUGUUUUAGUAUCUGAGUUUUUUUUGUCUUGGGUUUUUGAAAGAGAGAGAUAUGGUUUGUUUGGUUUUGAAAUUUGAAAAUAAUAAUAAAUAGUGGAAAGGUACGAAAUACCAUGACAUGAUGUCAUUUUCGAAACCAGGAGAAGUGAAGGAUCUGUGACUGUAACGUGUACACGUGGAAGCGAUAUUAUACGGUAUGGAAUACGACACCACCGGAGAUAAUCGAGAGAGAUUCUUAGGUGCGGCACUCGCACCACGUCACUAAUACGACUGUCCAGUCAUUGACAGACACAUAUUAAUUUUUUGUCCACAUCACCACUACAAAAAAGCAAAUCGGAGUCUCCUGUUCUCCGAUCAAAACCCACGUUCUCUCACCUUCUCAUCCUCUACCUCAGUCUGAAUCCCCCUCCCCCCACCAUCGUGACAUCGUCCCCGCCAUCGAUCUUUCUCUCAAGGUCUUCUCCUCCUUCAACCACCGCUCAUUCACUCCCACCCUCGAAACCAACCGGCGAAAGCCCCUCGACCCGCCGCCCGCCUUCCCUUCCCUCAACCCCUCCUCCCUUCGCCGUAGCCCGAAACUGAUCUUUCUACCCGACCCCGGCCUAGUUACUAUGAGCUUAAGCGUGAGGGAUUUGUUUGAGGGUGGGUUACCGUGAGGGAUUGGGGGUGACGCUUUGAGGGGUGGGAUUGAGGUGGAGGAUGGGAUAGGGAGAGCCUGGGUUUUUCCGAAGGAUAGAGAGAGGCAUGAGUUUUGUUUGAUCGGCUGGGUUUUGUUUGAUCAGAGAUCACCUCCGACUUCUCUUUCUUCUUCUUCCUUCCAGCCAUGUCCACCUCAGAAAAGAAAUGACAUGUGUAUGUUACUCAGUGGUCGGUCGUAUGGAUGACGGGGUGCGUGUGCCGCACCUAAGAAUCUCUCGAUAAUCGAACUUGAUCACAUACGGAAACAGAUUAGCUCAAUUUAGAGCAUAGAGGUAGAUUAAUGGAGAUCAAGUCCAAGCUAAUCGAUUUCUGUAUGGACUUGGUUUAAAUCUUUAUCAAAUCUAGUUUACUUAGAGCAACUCCAACGAGUCGUCAAAUGAUAGGGUGGAGUCUCAACAGAAAGAAAUGGCUGGAAAAUUUACUCCAACGGUUGUGUCAAAUCUGACGUGGAUUUGACAACUCUCUUCACAUUGUCAAACUUGACCGUGCUCAAGAAGUUGGCAAAUUAUUUUUCUUGAUUGUUUAAUCAACUCUCUUCUAUUCCCUUCUGUCUUCUCUCCUUCUUACACAUACCCAAAAUCUCUCAUGGCAGAUUUUGAAUAUGUUUUUCUUGACUUCUAAUUUUUGUGGGUUGUCUGAUAUUAGAAUAUAGGCAUGAAGAUUUUUACAAAAGAUAAGAAGAAGAUCUAGGCAGAGAUGGAGGAAAUAGAAGAGAGGAAGAUAGGCGAAGGGAUGACUUUUUUGAAAGGAAAAGAAAUCAGAGAAGAAGAGUUCAUGGAAAGAAAGAUAAAAUAACAAAGAAUUCAAUUAUAGAGGACGACUGGUAGAUAUAAAGCCUUUGUUUGGCAUGGAUUAGUUCUGGUAGUGGAGAAUGACUUUGUCUGAGAAAGAAGAGGUCUAGUGGCUUCGUCUGAGAAGUGGAGAAGAGACAAACUGAUGAAGUACCAGAAGAGUUGUAGAAGGAGAGAAGAAAGAUAAGAUAAAAGUACUACUUUAAUAAAAUAAAAUAAAUAACAAAUGAAUUUAUUUGACAUUUUCAUUGGAGGGGAAGUUUGUCACAAAUAACCUUGUCAUGUCAAAAAUCAAAUUUGAAUUUGACAAAGGUAAAAUAACCACUUCAUUGGAGUUGCUCUUAGAUGCAUUGGUACAGUGGUAGUUCUAACCUAAUUUUCAACUUUACGGGCAUCUUCACUAUCUUGGUUCAUUCAAAUUGUGUCUCGAUAAUUCUAUGUUAAAACAUAAAAAUGUGGGUAACAACAUAUUAUUUUUUGGAUUAAAUUCAGUGCUACCUUGAACUUUAAGUCACUCAUCAGUUGUGUCCCUAUUCUUUUUUCUUCAUCACGUAUAUCUUUGUACUCUCGAAAUCAAUCACGAUUGAACAAAAUUUCAAAAUNNNNNNNNNNNNNNNNNNNNACUCCCAAACCCACUCUUCAAUUCCCCUUCAACCCUAAAAAAACCUACCCUCUCCCGCCUCGCCCUCGUCGCCAUCACCGCCAGGAGAAGACCCCAUUUACAGAUGUACUUCGGUAUCACUUGGGCCAACGGCAGUUCGGUUCGAACCGAAGCAUCGAAGGAUCGGGUCCCCAUCUCGGAUCUCGAAUCCCAAUCGUUAUCUUCAUUAUCAGAUGAGCUCGUGGUGCUGUAGUGAGUAUUGGUCGGAGCUGGAGGAAUACUGCUAGAGGAAGAAGUCGUACUCUUCGAAUGAGAUUAGGAGUGGUUUUUAGGGGAGGCGAUUAAGGAUUUCGAGAUUUUGCAUAAGGGUUAGAUUUUGGAUUUGGUGGUGACGGGAAGAGGGGGGUUCUCGGCAGAGUUUAUCGUGGGUGUAAUUGGAUUUGGUGGUGGCGGGAUUGUGAGAUUUUGGUGACACUUUGGUGGUGGGUGCGGUUGAGUUUGGUGAAAGAAGGCGUAGGAGCCUUUGGGGAAGGUGAAGAUUGAAGUUCUAGGGUUAGAUUUUGCAGAAGGGGAAGUGAAGAAAAUGGAGGAGGGAAGUUGUAGAGAGAGGGGAGAAGGAAUUAAAAGAAAAUAAGAAAUUAAGAAUUGAAGACAAAUUAAAAAAAAUGGAAAAAGAAAAUGACUUAAAAGACGUUUUUUGCCCACCAUUUGGGUUAAGAAUUGAGCGGUGGGCCAUCUUUGUCUCCUCACGUUAGAUGUUUACCUCAUGUUUGGAGAAAUUUUGAAAUUUUGUCCAAUCCUGAUUGAUAUCGAGAGUACAAGGGUACACGUGAUGAGAAAAAAAUAAUAGAGACACAACUGAUGAAUGACCUAAAGUUCAAGGUAGCACACUAAAUUUAAUCAUUAUUUUUUUGUCUAAAAAUAAAAGUGAUUAGACACGUAGAUACAUAUUGAGUUGUCUUUACUAUUGGAUAGCUACUUCAUGAUAAAACCUUAAUUAUAUUCAAGUUUUGUAUUCUUAACACUACUUUUAGCAUCUACAACAUUAAAAAUUUACCAUAUCAAAUAACAAGACUUUAGAAGUCUCAAUAUGAACCCUAUCAUGGGAACCACUAGAGUAACCAAGAUCAGCAAUAACAUCCAUUAUAAAAUUGGCUUCACGAAAGACACGUUUAAAUUAUUAAUGGAAUCAAAACUAAUCACCACAUCUCUAAUGUCUUGAACUAACUUGAUCAAUCUCUAAAAGGUAGAUCAAUUCGAUCAUUCACUACUUCAACUACGAAAUUAGAAUCUCCAUUCACUUCAACUCUAUCUUGUCAAGCCUUUCUCAUUCGCUUUCACCAGACUAUCUCUUAAUGAUAACACCUAAGCAACAAGCACUGAAGCUCUUCUAACUUGGUUGGAUGCUACAUAUAUAUGUUAGUCGAGAUGAACAUCCCGGAAGAGUAAACCACUUGCCGCGGAAUUUCUCAUAACUAAACCAUCAAAGUUGUUUUUUUUAACAAAAGAACUAGGAGGUGUUUAUCACCUAAUAGUGGUACUUGGGUUUUAAAGUUGCACUCCACUAGAAAUAAUAUCAAGAUCAACACACCUCAAAGAAAAAAAAGCUGAUGCCAUGAUAGUUUAAACUUUAAAGGGAAUUAGUAAGUUUUUUUUUUUUUUUUGAUUGAAAAAGGAAUUAAAAGUUGCCCAUCUAAAAAUUGUAUCAUUCUUGAUUUUCCAAACCUGUUGGCAUAUGGUAAGCAGUUUUGCAAACAAAUCAGCAUCUUAAGACUAAGUAACAUAUAGUUCCUUAAAAAGACGUUAAUUAAGAACCCCUCUUCCUAGUAAAUUGGGGAGACAAUAUUUACCAAAUUCCAUACUUGAUUGAUGACGAAGUCACAAUAUCCAAAAAGAUGGUUAGUUGUUUUUUUUUUUUAGAGCAAUCCAUAGUUUUAUUCAAAUAAAAAAGACUACAACACAACGGAAUUAUCAGUGGUGGACAUUCGUUCCCCACUUAUUUCCCCACUACUAGAAACAAUUACGAGUCUAUCAUCGAAGAUGACAUCCAUGAGCCAAUCAGGCCCAACCCGUAACCAUGUAAAACGCCCUUCAACACGGGCUACAAACUAAGCAAUCGAAUGUGUCACAAGAUUAGCACUUCUAGGAGUAUAAGCAAUAACAUCUCUACUAACCUCAGGUAGUAGCAUUCUAAUUUUCUCGAACAAAACUUCAUCCUCAACAAAACACUCCCAUGUCUCAUUCAUCAAGUUAACAGCCUCUAAAUAAUCAGUUUCUAUGCGCUCCACCUGCCAACCUCUUUCAAUCACAACCUCAAUACCUAUCAGUAUUGCCAACAGCUCAGAAACGCGAGGACUGAGGCGUCCUUGCAGUCUUUCUCCCACAGUCAAAACCAACUCCCCAAUGCAGACCUGUAAAUGGACCGGAUCGACCUAGAUCCGGAUCCGACCUGUUAUCAUUGAUAGCUCGGACCAAAUCCUGAUUCGGAAGGUUAAUGGAUACCCGACCCGUUAAUCUGAUCCAUUUAUAAUAAUAAAUAUUUUCAAAUUUUAAAUAAUUUCUUAAUUUUAUCAUAAAUUUUCAUAAAACACUAAUGAAAUGUUAUAACAAAAUAAAAGUUUACAUCAAAAGUUGAAUUACAUGGCCAAAAUACUCCUUAACAAUAAACUAAUAUAAUCAAAAUACUAGACCUAAUAUAAUCAAAAUACUAGACCUCCAAUGUUUUUAGCAAAGAGCAUAAAAAAAAAUAUAAACAUCAAUAAUCUUCAACUUCAUCAAAUCAUACUUUAGAAGCAAUUUAAACGUUUAGGUUAUCCAAAUAAUUAUUAUAUUAUUUAAUAUUUAUCAGUAAUAUUAUAUUUAUAAAAAUAUUAUAAUUAUUUUAAAACGGAUCUGGGUCCUUAACGGAUCGGAUUAACCUCGAUCCGUAUCCGAUCUGUUUAAUAAACAGGUUAACUGAUGCAGGUCCUUAACGGAUUAACGGGUCAAAUUUUAGACAUAAACCCGUUUAAAAACCACAGAUCCGGAGUGGGCCCGGAUCAAGAUCAAGUCCAUUUACAGAUCUACCCCCAGGCUAUUUCUUAGCACUGCACUAGUACCAACACAAACCCAAUUUUCAAACACAGCAGCGUCGCAAUUAAGUUUCAAUGAACUUGGACUAGGUGCACACCACCUACUCCUACCAUGCUGAGUUUCCCACCCAUUAUUCACCUGACUACGAUGCUGCACAACCAUCAUACUAUCCCACAUUAACACUCCUUGCUCAUAUAGUAGAUUAGAAGGUCGAUGAGGCUACUGUCACGCCCCAAUUUUUGAAAAUUUUUUCGAAAUGAACUUUUCAAAAAUUUUGGCAUGAUAUAACUUAAAAUACUAUAAUCCCAAAACUUGUUUCAAUAAAAUUCAAGGAGAAAGUAACUCAAUGCGGAAAGUAAAUUUACACGCAACUCCAAAUUGAGUUAAAUAUUACAUUUUCUUGUUUACAUAAACUUGAGAGUUAAGAAAUGAAACUCUCACAUGAGUUUAAUAUUGUCUAUCCCAAUGUAUAUAUAUAAAAAAUAUAUAUACAAUGAACAACCAAAACCCAACAAAAAAACCUGCCACUAAGCAUCCACCUCAACCCUGCUGAUCCUCACCUGCAAGUCUAACCCCUACACCAAGAAUUGGUGCACCGGGUUGUAAACAACAAAUCCGGUAAGCUAAAAAGCUCGUAUGAGUAAACUCAAAAAUAACACAACAUUUAUCACAUCCAAUAUUCCACAAGAGAGAUUGGAUCAAUAAUUAAAAACCACACAUCCAACACAUUACCCAAGAAAUGUACCCAUGAGUCACAGAUAUUUAAUAAAAUACCCCUUAUGACUUACAACAACACAAUGUGUACCCAUGGGUCCCAGAUACCAUACAGUAUCUCCCAUGACCUACACUGACAGACGGACUAGAGCUCUAUUCCUAACCGUAACCAAUCACCCGGCCAAAGGCUUAGAAUCCGGUUUGACUGUCUAAUAAUCAACACAAAAGUGAUAAAUAGCAUCUUAACUGCAACCAAUCACCCAAUUAAAGGCUUAGAACCCGGUUUGGCUAUUUAUCUAACAAUCAUAAUAUCACAACAUUAUACUCAACAACAUAAUAUCACAUCAUUAUUCACAAUAACACAAUAUCACAUCAUUAUUUUAUAUCCUUCCACAUGGAUAUAUUUACAUGAACAAAUUAUAGAUAUUCCAAAAGAAUAAUCUAUCAAUAAUCAAUAAAAUUAUGAUCACAUGAAUCUCAAAAUAGCAUUUAAAGAAAACUUGUUUUAUCUUACCUAUGAGCCGUUGACGAUCAAGCUCAUAUAUAUUUAAAAUAAUUAAAAGCAUAUUUUUAAAUCCAACAUUAUCAUCAUUAUUAUCAUAUGACCAUAAUAACAAUAGGUUCAAAAGUGAACCUUGGUGAGAUUUACUCACCUAAAUAUCCCGCUGCAAAUUUCACAACCGACCAAGGCAAACUAAACACAACUUCACAAAUCACCUAAAAAAUAGCACAAUUAAAACCUUAGUAACUAAAAUACUAUAGGUUAUCACAAUACCCUUAACUAACCCUUAGUUCAAGGGAGGACAACUUUCCAAAGUCGUCGAACUUAGAGACCCAAAAUGGCUGCCUCUAAUCCUCAAAUCCUAACUCAAACCUCAACCAAGCCUACACAAAUAAACCUAAGUCCUAACAUGCCAACCUUGCUUAAAAUCUAGCCACACUACCACUCAACAAGCUCACAACAGUAAGGACUAGCUAACCACAGGAAACUAAGGCCGCAACUCAGCCGGACGCGCCGCCACGCGCCACCAUAGGCGGCGGCGAGUGGGCCCCAUGCGCCACCCCAAACUUCCGAAUUAGGAGAAACUCACAACAGCAAAGUUGAAGCUUGAAGCAAGGGAAACAACUUUCAUACCUGAGACUUCGACCAAUUUUGGCCGGAAACUGCCCCGAAACCCUAACCCGUAAUCACUCUUCAAACCUGCAAAACCGGCUUCAAAACCUCAAAAACUCACUUCAAUCUAUGCCUAGACACUACUAGGAGGAGGAGAGGAUCAAAACUCACCUAAGGUUGCCCCUUGUCGCCGCCGUAUAUGGCGGUUCCGAUCGGUGGCACAGCAGCCCCCUUUUCUGGUCGAAAGCGUUGUUUUCGGCAUCCCACACCGAGUAGCAGCUGCCCAGCCUUGAAGAGGACACCUGUGGGAGUCGAACGGGACCGAUGGCGGUCCGAUUGGUGGCCGGACGGCGGAGCUAGCUCCGGCGGAAGUUAUGCUCUCGGGAGAGCUCGGGAGAGGAAGGGGGAGAAGAGAGAGAAGAGAGAAGAGAGAAAAGAGAGGGAAGAGAGAAAAAAAGAGAGGCUGACCUAUUUUUAGGGUUCCCAAAAACAUCCCACACACAUUUUUCUACUUAUACUCUUUUCAAACCCGGAAACAAACUUCCUCUAACCAUAACUUCUUCAUACAACAUCCAUUUGAGGCGUGCCGCAUGUCUACGAACUCGUAUCGACAAACUCUACAAAUUUCGUGAAGGAAAUUUUCGAAGAUAACUUAUGAAAAAUAAAGUCAACUUUUGGCCUCUUAAAAGUCAAAGCACCUUAAAUAAAUUCCCGAAACUUCAACUUCGCAUAACCAAAGAAUUUUCAUAAAUAAUCCUUCAUUAAUUAAGGAAAUAAUACAAAAAAAUUGAUAUGAAAAUCUAGGGUAUUACACUCACCAUGUAUUACUCUAUUACGCUCUGCCCAAUGACUCCAAAGUAAAAUAACCAACAACUUCAUUUCAUUCAAAGAAACAACCGUAAUAGCAUGGUCAAAAAAUUCUGAAAAAUCCGAAAACAUACCCGAAACCAGCUUGUCAUAAAAGCUCAACCUCUCCAACACCGCAACACUAUAGGGACAUAAACAUAUUGCAUGCAAUGGUGUUUCGUUAUAUUGCUGACAUCUCGGGCAUAAAGGAUGAUGGGCGAUAUAACAUUGAUAUAAGGACCAUAGACAUGGAAUAAAUCCCAUGGAACAGCGUCAAAGGAAGUGACACAUUUUCGGAGGCACCUUCAGUUUCCAUAAGUGCUUCCAGUAUGCAAAAACAAUCGGAGCAGAUCGAUGCCACUUUUGUGUAGCCAAUCAGUAUGCACUUUUAACAGAAAAUUUUCCAUGUUUAUUGCGAGUAGUCCAAAUCAAUUUAUCCCUACCAUUGUUACGAACCAAAGGAAUACUUAGCACUGCCUCCAUUUCACUAGUAGUAUUAACAUGUUCCAAAGCUUGCAUACACCAAAAUCUCAAAGCCGAUCUUAGUUCUCCCACCUUCAUAUUCCAAUCCAAACCAUUCUUCCAAGCAAUUAUGAACUUAGGUAUAGAUGGGACACAAAGAUCCUCGAAAACCCGAAUACUAUCACCACUACUCACUCUCUAUCGCAGCCCUUCUAAAAGUAGUUCUUUACCCCACAUUAUAGCCCACCAACUAUUGGAGGGAGAUUUGCCAACUUUAGCUUCUAGAAACUGACUUUGAGGGAAGUACUUAGCCUUAACAUCCUGUGAACCAACGACUUAUCAUCUUGCUCCAACCUUCAUCCAAUCUUCGCAACAAGAGCUUUAUUAAAGCUUUGGAACUCCCGAAAACCCAAACUACCUUAAUUCUUAGGGACACAGAGUUUCUCCCACUUCCUCCAAUGUAUACCCUUCUUACCAUUCGACUACCCCCAUUAGAACCUCGCCAAAUGCUUAUUAAUCUCAUCACAAAUCCCAAUUGGAAGCUGAAAUACACUCAUUAUGUAAGUCAUGAUAGACUGCGCCACUACUUUAAUACAAAUCUCUUUUCCGCCUUUUGAUAACAUUUUACUUUCCCAACCCUGAAUUUUCUUCCAGACCCUAUCAGUCACACCUUUGAACAGUUUCUUUUUGCUCCGACCCGUAACAGUACGAAGUCCAAAGUAUCACUUGUGAUCUAGAGCCUCACUACAAGCCUCCUUGAUAUUGGCAGAUGUUCUUGGACUGAAACACACCGCCGAUUUUUCAACAUUGAUUUUCUACCCCGAAUUCCUCUCAAAGACUGCAAAAAUCUCCUUUAGCUUUAAACGAUCACUGUUGCACAAAUUCAUCUUUGAUUUUUUUUUUUUAAGAAAGAUAAACAAUUUAUUAAAUAGGAUCCAAAAUUACAAACCACGGGAAAUAUCGGGAGGGACAAAAAUUCCUCACUCGCCUCUCUGCCUAAACACCAACAUUACGAUAGACAAGAACCGAUAAGGUUUAACUGUAACAUGACAUAUUCUAAAAGUCUCGAUACAUCCUUAUAACCAACCUCAAGAGGAAACAACCUCCUCAAGCAGUAGAUACCAAAACCGCCAAUACAUAUGCCAAAACAACAUCCCCAUUAUAUUGAUAACAAGAACUAACCGAUAAAAGCAAUAGUAUCCGAAAACGACAUCAUAACCAUAACACACUCAACGACACGACCAAAUGACACCAAACCUAACAAAACUCUAAACCCUCGCUCAAAUAGAAUGCCAAAACCCAAAUUCAUCUUUGUUUUAUUUGAACAGUUGAGUAGAGAACCUCUAAAUUCCCAUAUCGUGUUGCAAUUUGGAUUGGGUUGGGUUUUGAAUUGGACUUUUUCAUAACCUUAAUGAUAGGCCUUAGCUUUUGGGGCUUGAACUUAUUAUAGAUUUAUAGUUGCCCACUUGCCCUCUUCUUUCUUCUCUGUAUGAUUCCACUAUAUUAUUCUCUCGGGAGAUAAAUGCAAGCACAUAAACCCCAUCCAAAAUCCCUCACAUGGCUGCUCCAGUUCCACUGACUGUUGAGACCCAACUCAUUCAGUCUUUGUUUGCAAUUGUACUCAAGGGUCAUUGGAGCCACCUCCUGAAUCCCAAGCUUGGGUCUUGUCUCACCUCAUCCGCCAUCCACCAGGUACUCCUCCAACUCUCACUCUAUGGCUACACCCCUUCACUUUCCUUGUCUUUCUUCAAAUGGGCAGAGUCACUACCCAAUUACAAGCACUCCUUGCAGUGCUCUUGGACCAUGGUUCACAUUCUCACCAAACACAGGCACUUCAAAACUGCGCAUCAAUUUCUUGAGAAGAUUGCCUUUAGGGAUUUCUUGUCAUCCCCGUCGGUUUUGAAUGCUUUGAUUCCGACCCAAGAUGACCCCGAUGUGAAUUCCCAUGUUUUGAGCUGGCUUGUGAUAACUUAUGCUAAUUCUAAGAUGACCCAAGAUGCUAUUCAGGUUUUGGAGCAUAUGAGGGUACAUGGGUUUAAGCCACAUUUGCAUGCUUGUACUGUGUUGUUGAAUUCUUUGGUUAAAGAUAGGUUGAUUAGUAUGGUUUGGAAAGUUUAUAAGAAGAUGAUUAAGGGUGGGGUUGUUCCGAAUAUUCAUACUUACAAUGUGUUGAUUCAUGCUUGUUGCAAGUCUGGGGAUAUAGAAAAGGCGGAAGGAUUGGUGAGUGAGAUGGAGUUGAGGUGUGUGUUUCCUGAUCUUUUCACCUUUAAUACUUUGAUAUCGUUGUAUUCAAAAACAGGUAUGCAUUAUGAAGCUUUGUGUGUUCAAAGUAGAAUGGAAUUGGCAGGAGUUAGUCCUGACAUGGUGACAUACAAUUCUCUUAUGUAUGGAUUUUGUAGAGAAGGAAGGAUGACAGAAGCUGUGAAACUUUUCCGUGAUAUCAAAGGUUGUGUUCCUAAUCAUAUAACUUACACUACAUUGAUUGACGGGUAUUGUAGAGUGAAUGACCUCGAAGAAGCUUUAAGAUUGUGCGAGGUAAUGAAGUCUAAGGGGUUGUAUCCUGGAGUUGUUACAUAUAAUUCUAUUCUCCGGAAAUUAUGUCAAGAAGGCAGGAUGAGGGAUGCGAAUAAGCUUUUGAAUGAGAUGAGUGAAAAGAAUGUUGAGCCUGACAAUGUUACAUGUAACACUUUGAUUAAUGCUUAUUGCAAAAUAGGAGAUAUGAUGUCUGCAGUGAAAGUGAAGAACAGGAUGUUGGCUUCUGGGUUGAAGCUGGAUGCUUUUACCUAUAAAGCACUCAUUCAUGGAUUUUGUAUGGUACCAGAAAUGGACAGUGCUAAAGAUCUUUUAUUUAACAUGCUUGAUGCCGGGUUUUGCCCAAGUUAUUGCACAUAUACAUGGAUUAUAGAUGCUUACUGCAACCGCGGCAAUGAAGAAGCAGUUAUAAAAUUACCAGAUGAGUUUGUUAGUAAAGGUAUAAUUGUUGAUGUCUCUCUGUACAGGGCUUUAAUAAGGAGGUUAUGUAAACGAGAAAGGCUGGAUUGUGCUGAAAAGGUUUACAGUCUUAUGCAAGAGAAGGGUAUAUUAGCAGACAGUGUAGUAUUUACUAGUCUAACAUAUGCUUACUUGAAAGCGGGAAAGUCAAGUGUAGUUUCCAGGAUGUUAGAUGAAAUGUUCAAGAGGAGGUUGAUGGUAACACGCAAGAUCUACAGGUCUUUUAAUGCAUCGUAUGCCAGUGAAAGUGACAUCUUAUGUCUCUUUUGGAAUCAUAUGGUCGAGAGAGGCCUUAUGUCAAAAACUGUUAUGAUGACUGAAAUGCAGCAAACAUAAAUCAAUGUUGGCGAUGUCACUUGGAGUCUUAUAGUAGACUCGAUCUUUCAUACCACAAGGGUUUGUGACACAAACUUCCUGUGAAUAUACAUGUCUUGAAAUGUGUUAGACUGUUAUGGACUCGAGGCACUCAAAGUUAUAUGCAAAUGUGAAAGGGUUAGGAGACAAGUUUAUUUCUUCUGCCUCUCAUUUUGGUAUCUAGCCUUUUACUCGCUCUUAUUGCUCUAGACUCAUGGUGCAAACCAAGAAAGCUUAUGGUAUGGGUGGUUUUCCAGGCAGACCACAAUCUUGUAAUGCCUGUUUAUCUUAUGGAAUAAACAACUUCAAGGAGGUGCUGAUUUUGCUCAGAAUUUAUAAUGGCACUGAAAACAACUACCAAAAGCACCACACAGCCAUGGUGUGCUAAGGAUUGCUUGUCUAAGUUACCCAGCAGCUGUGGUCUCUACUUGUUGAAGAGCUGCUUCCGACCAUAGUGUGGCAGUUGCAUAUAAAGUGCAUCAGCUUCAGCUUGGUCUGAACACGAAUGUAUGGGGUUUCUACAAAAUUAUAUUGGUUGUGGGUUUGGAGGAUGCUGAUAUCUUGAUCUACCAAGCAGUUCAGAAUCCACAUCUUGUAAAUGACAGGUAAAUGGAUGUUUUUGUUUUGGCAUAUGUGAAUCUCGAGAUUAAUCAUAUACCCUAUUGCAGUGCUUAUUGAUUUAUUUAAUGUCUUUGAUUAAUUGAUAUUUGUAUGCCUUGUUUUGUUUUAGAUAAAAGAGUAUACAAAACAACUAGGAUGGUACUUGAUGGAACAAUUUCAUUACUUUAUAUUCUCAAAACCCAUUUGGAUUGUAUCUCUAUACAGUUACAAAGAAAAUUUCAAACUGUUAACGUCAACCGACUUGCCUUGGUGCCUUCAUGCUUAGCCUAAAGUGCCUCUAGCAAAGCUGCUAGUGCAAAAAUUUCGUAAUCAGAACAAGUGCAACCACAAUCAUGACCAUCUUUGCAACCACACUCAUCCCACUUUUUUGUCCUUCUCUGCGUCCUUUUCUCCAUUCCUACUUCUGUUUGGACUGCAACUUUGAUAGAUACCUGUAGUUUAGGUGGUUUGCCUUCAAGAGCACGGCCGCUAGUACUUCUUGGAACCAUCAUGAGCCACUUAUCCAAUUCCAUGUUUGGUGACUCGAGCACUUCUUUCCAUGGAACCUCUGCCCUGCCCAGUAGUUGGGAUCCCCCGAUGUUUCCAAAAACAGGCACUGUGCUCCUCCACCGGAGCUCAAAAACCACAGUGUCUUGCACAAACCUAUUGCUUCCAUUACACUCCAAGGAAAUGGACUCGUUCCAGAUGUGAUCAGACUUGGCUGAGAUUUCUCGAGUGUUCAGACCAACUCUUUUGCCACCCCCUGCAGAAAGAUAGUAUCUAACGAACAGGUUUCCCGUGGUCUUGAGGAACUCUAUGUUUUUGGCUUGUAUGAUUCUCAAGUCACAGCUAAGAGAAGAAAGCUCGAGUGAAAUACCCAUUUUGUGUGUGUUUGAGGGAAACUGGAGAUGGAGUUGAUUGAUUGUGUGUUGAAGACAAGUAAUGUGGCUCUUAUAUAUAGUGUCUAGGAUAUUGGAGGGGAAGGUGGCAUAUCUUUUUGAGGAAGCUGCAAUUAUCCAUGUUAAAAAUGUGAUCAGAGCAUAUAGUUACACUAAGUAAGAUCUGCAAUCUUGAUAUUAUAAUGUGAUAUGAUUCAUAUUGGGCAUUAUUAAGGAAGGCAUGGGAGAUUGAGUGGAAGAUAAUGAUCGCUUAUUAUAUAUAAGCUCCUUUAGAUGCUUGAAGAGCUGGAUUUCAAAAAACGACCCUGCUUGAAAGUUGCAAUUAGCAACAUUUUGAGUCCAGUGCUUUUUGACCAAGCAUGGAGUAUAUAACUACAUAUGAUAUACUUGAAAGUGGAAUCUGUAUAUAUGUGGACUGUGGUUUGUGCUUCCACCCACAGAUCCUUUGACUUCAGAAUCUGCACCUUGUGGUCUUGUAUUGUUGGAGCUGUGGGUGGUCUGGUAUUGCUGGAGCUGUUGCUCCAUGGAAAUUAAAGAACACCAUAAACAAAAAGAAAAGAUGCACCAAUUUUAUAUACGCUGGUGACUCAUUGAUAAAGAGACUAGUUUCGAGAUUUUUUUUAAAGCAAACCAGUAUAUCACUAAAGAUAACCAAGUGAGGAUUAUAUUGUGUAAGUUAGUUUUGGACCUCAAAGAAUCGGAUGAGACAUGUCUAGUAGUGAGUCAUGGAAGUUCUGUUGCACAGAAGUCUAAACCAAGAGCUCAGGGAAGCGUCAUUUUGGAGUUGUAGAUCAAGAGAAAAUCUUACUUGCGACAGCCGCACCACGUGUCUUGUGCGACCCAUCAGUCGCACAGCGACACGUUUUUUUUCUUUUUCUUUUUCCGGGCAGCUCUUCUUCUUCCUUCCUCUCUCUUCUCCGGCGAAACCGAUCCCCUCAGCUCCCUCUGCCCAGCCGCCGCCUAACACCCCUCGCCGUCACCUCCACCAUAAGCCUGACAACCUGCCGCCGUCGAGCCGCGCCUCCACCAACCUGUGCAAAUCACACAGAGGAAGGAAGAAGAAGAGAGAGGAAGGAAGAAGAAGAAGGCAGGUGUGAAAAAAUAAAAAAAAACAUGUGUCAAAUGAUGAUUGGGUGCGUAUGUGCCAGGUGGUGCGGCUGUUGCACCUAAGAAUUUCUCGUAGAUCAAUUAAUCUUAGCUUGGCCUGAAGCUCUCCGGAGCUUCGGGGCAAUGCUACUUUGUAGUUGUUAACCAAUUUCAUUACUAUGGUUGGCUUAAUCUUAGCUUCACAUGCAUAGCAAGAGUGAUAAUUUUUCAUUUUCCACGGAAAUUCAAUUGAUUAUAAAAUCAAAUAUGUUGUGAAUAUGUUCGUAGCUUAUGCCAGUACAUAAUACUAAAGUCAUUAUUCAAAUCAUUUGUAUCUCCAUUCUACAAUCCUAGUAUACUAUCAUUGCUCCCACAUGCCUCAGUUUGUUGGUGAGUCGUGUCUUAGUUAAGGUGUUUAACUUACAACUUUGAGGUUAUAGGUUCAAACUUCACAGAUAUAUGUAGAGUGUGUGAGUUAUUAAUAAAAUAUUUUUUAAAAAAAUAAAAUAGUAUACUAUCAUUGCUUUUGAACAACUUCAAUAUAUCUGAUCACAUUAUCUUAGGGUAAAAUACCAAGAUUGCCUUAGAUUCUGCAAAUUAGCCAACUGAACUUUGGAUUUGGGAAACAAAUUGAAACUGAUACCCUCUGCAGCUGCAGAAUGAAUUAAGCACUCUAAGAUAUACUUGAAGUGGCCAACUGGGCGAUUAAAACCGCUGCAACAUGUAGCUAGUAUCAUACCAAGUGCAAAAAGAUACGACUUUACUACGCAAAAGGCUUCGUGAAUAUAACUAAUGUAUAUUCCCUCGAGUAUCCUGAGCAGGAUAUGCCCACUAAUUCAAUUAGUUGGGUUAAAAAAAUAUAAUUGGUCUACAUAAAGGAGAUUUUGAGUUCUUCAGCUUUCGUAUUUGUAUAAUGAGAAGGUUGCACUGGAUCACUGAUCAACCAGUUGGAGGGAGAUUAUGCUUCACACAUAAGAUAUUGUUAUGGCUCUUAUCCUAGAUCCUUUGGAUUAUCUUCCCAUGAGAGAGAUUAACAAUCUUUGAUACUUUUCUUUUGUAUUCAACCUUUUUAAAACCCUGUGAAGCAUAUCCAACAACCUAGCCAGUACUAUUCACGGAGAAUGAAUUGGCUCAAGGCCUCAAGUAGUGUAACCAGUCUUAGCGACAUCUCUCUAGGCAAUCAGAGAGGUCCUAGAUCCCUCUUCCAUCAUAAGAAAAGAAAAGAGAUAAAAUUGAGCUGCAUUUUUAUCAAUAUUAGUAAAUACAUACUAAACUUAGAGUCGCAGCUGCUAAAGUUGAUAAAAAGCUAAACAAAUUCUCUAAAAUAGCUAAGGAGUUAAGAUAGAGACUAUCAAAGAUGCUCUUAGUAUCUGAUUUAGGCUAUCGUGGUACAAAAUACAGGGGAUUAAUUGCUUCCAUGUUCCUAUUAAAAACAACUAAUUUUCUUCUACUUUCGUUUUUAUUUCACUAAUUUUCGGUUUGGCACCCGUUUUCACCGUUUUGUUUUGGCAAGUAAUUUGAAGUUUUUAUUUAUAGCAACUCUUGCCAAGAAUAGAAAUUUAAAAUACCUGGUUAGACCAACUUAUUCGAUUAUCACCUUAAAAACAAAAAAUCAUGCUAUUCCUAUAUAUUGAAAUAAACUCAGAGGAACGGAUCUUCAGUAUGCCACACUUGAUCCGAUGCAUUGCUCUCAUUUGUUUCUUUGUACCGGUUGCUUGGAUUCUUAUGGUCCUCAUCGUCUGGUUCCCAUCUACAAUGAGUUAUACAAUCAUAAACAACAUUAACAUUCCCCAACACCUGACAACAGAUACCGGUAGUACAACAGAUGAAGAACCAUUCCUGCUUUCCACCUGCGUCGAUCCAAGCCUUUCAGUGUACGUAUACACUUUGCCGCCACGGUUCAACGUCGACUUCCUCGACCGCUGCCGCACCAUUGCCGCCACCUACACCUUGUGUCCCUCCGUCGCCAACUCGGGACUCGGCCAGCCACUCUUUGACGACACACCGGGGAAGGUUACUAGCUGGUUCAACACCAUGCAGUUCGCCUCGGAGCUCAUCUUCCAUGCACGCCUGCUCAACCAUCCUUGCCGAACGUGGGAUCCCACACGUGCCAGUCUAUUUUACGUCCCCUUCUACGGCGGCCUCUACUAUCUAAACCAAUUCAAAGAGUCCAACUCCACCGCACGCAACCAGCUUGCGGUGGACUUGGCCAAUUACAUUCAGGCACAGCCCAUGUGGAAGAGGACCAUUGGUAAAGACCACUUUAUGGUCCUAGGGAGAGUCGCAUACGAUUACAUGGGGAUCGAAAAAUUUGACAAAGCCAACAACCUGCUAAUACUACCGGCCGCGAGAAACAUGUCGGUGUUUAUCACAGAGAAAUCUCAGUCCAGCGAGAACCAACAACGUCGGAAGAAAUGGUAACAUGGCAAGACAAGGUGAGGGAAAUGGAGAGGCCUCUCACUUGUUUUCCUUUGUAGGUGGGCCAAGAAAGACUAGGGGGAUGCGAAAGGAGUGCAUAAGGCAAUGUGCUGAGUCGACUCGUUUCAAGCUCUUAAAUUGAGGCGGAUCCGGUGGCGGUAAGAUGUGCCUGCAGCCAUGUGAGGUCCUGAAGGUGAUGACUCAGUCGGUAUUUUGCUUACAAGCGCCCGGAGACACGCCGACGAGGCGGUCGACGUUCUAUUCAGUGCUGAUGGGCUGCAUAUAUACCUGUUUUCUUUUCAGACAAGUCUGCUUACAACCAGUACGCAUGGUUUUUACCUGAAGAUGCGAGCGCGUACUCUGUGCUCAUAGACGAGAAGAGCAAUGCGAGUAAGAAAAUUGAAGAAGAAUUGCUGAAGAUUUCGAGCGACAGGGUUCAGAGGAUGCGUGAAAAGCUUAUAGAUUUGAUUCGGAGCUUGACAUAUGCCCAUCCAAUUGCAUCAAAUUUAGGGUUUGAGGAUGUUGCAGUUGCGUCAUUGGCCAAGCACGUCAAAAAUACUAUAAAUUAGAUAAUAGAAUGUGAGAGUAAAAUUUGAUAUGGAUCAUAGAUAUGUAAAAGUAAAAACGUUAAGUUUUCGAAAACUAUGUUGUCUAGCAGCAUGUUCUAUAUACUAGCUACUCUAAUAGACUAUGCAAAUAUGCAAUCAACUGGAUUCUAGUAACGUGGAUCACAGGAAUGCUUCAAGCAACUGAAACUAUCUACAUACAAACAUAAUAAUUUGGGUUGUUUUUAAUUUAGCAGAAAAUUCUAGUAUACCAUAUGAUAUAGCAUACCUCACAAAAUAUGUGAUUAUCAUUGAUUAAAGAGUCAACUAAAUAAUCAUAUAAUAAUCAUUUACCCCUUAAAAACUCUCAUGUGUCACACAAUUAGACAUAUUUACAAUAAGUAUGUCAUACCAUAUAGUAUGAGUACGAAGACAAACCCGUUUUCAGCCAAGAACAUAUUGUCCACAUAUUCUCCUUCCAAUAAUCGUCCAAUUUGAUCACACAUUUGUACCCACAUGCAUGCGUGUUCCACAAACCAACUCCUUGUUUAAAUUAUAUUCCUUUUCCAUCCGUCUACCCUCUUCUUUUUUUUUUAAUUAUUUCGAUAUAUAUUGUAGUCGUUAUUCUUGUAUUAUUAUGGAGCAUUGCUCUCACAAAUUACUGUAUUCUGUAAUGAAUUAUCUGCUGCAUCACCCUGUAUGUGCCUUCCAGUGGACAGUGGUCUCCUUUUGUCGCAUAUAUCAAAUGGUUUUAUUUUAUUUAAUGGGUCUCCUUAUUUAAUAGGGAAUUAGAACACUUCUGUUGUGGCAUUGUGAUGUGUUAGGUUCUUCCUAACACAAAGGGAUCGUGCUGGUUACAUGGGGCUCGUUUGCUUCCGAUGUCAAAAUGAACUUCUUCCCCUUCCUUUUUCCAACAUGCAUGUUCAAGUCUUGUGUUCCACCAAAGGGGGAAGUACGUAGGAGGCUGAAGAGUUGUGGGCAGGCUUUGGAGAAAGUAUAUAGGCUGAAGUACGUACGUGAUAGCUAGACAGUCUUAGAUGUUGUUAUCUAUAAACUCUUGAUAACGCAAGUUAAAGAAGAGUGAUUGAAAACAAACCUUUUAUAGUCUCAAGUGUUACAAUGUCCCCGGCCGAAUGCAUCCCAAACCGGUAAAGUAAUCCUUAUAUAGCACCGGUACCAGUUAAUCCAAGUCCAACGAGAGAGACACAUGCAUCCUCAAGGCGAUGUCAGACAUAUAUUUUAUUUUUGGUCGAACAUAGAAUUAGCAAAAUCGAUUACUCAUACUAUUUUUCAAUAGUAUUAAUAUGUGGCUAUCUAGUUGCUAUAGCGUCCUCAGUAAGAACCUGCCGACAAUAUAGAAUGGUGAGCUAAACUACAACCUUGAUUUCAGCCGUUUAUUAAGACUCAAGACUUAAUAAUCUUAUAAUAUAGACUGCACUGUACGUAUUCUAGUUUUUGCUUCUUUGGCUUCUUCAUCUUCAUGUUUUCCGGUGAGAAAAAACCUCCAAUCCUUCUCCGGUUCAGCUCUUCCCUUCUUCUCUUUCUAUCAGCUGCUUUCCUCAUCUUUUGGUUCCCAUCGUCUCCCGACACUCUUAUCCAACAAAAACAUGAUCAUGACCACAUUCAACAUCAUGAUUCUCCUCAUGUUAAUCAAAAUCGAAACCAGAACAAUAACAACAGCAACAGCAACAGCAGCAGCAGCAAAAACGACGACGUUCUCACAGCCCCAACCAAACCAUACGUCACAGUUCCGAAGUGCAACCAACAAGUCUCCGUCUACGUAUACACAUUGCCGGCGAAGUUCAACCUCGGACUCCUUCACAACUGCCACGACCUCAACUUUCGUACCGACAUGUGCCCCCAUGUAGCUAACUCCGGACUCGGCCAGCCACUUGCGACUAUAGGCUCCACGUUAGAAACCAACAACAGCAAUAGCUGGUACGCCACCAACCAGUUCGCGGCGGAGAUGAUCUUCCACGCGCGGCUCCUCAACCACCCCUGCCGCACGUACGACCCCGCGCGUGCCACUCUCUUCUACGUACCCUACUACGGCGGCCUUCACGUCUCGAGCAAGUUCCGGGAACGGAACCAAACCGCGCGCGACGAGCUCGACGUCGGCUUGGUCGACUAUCUACAAUUCCAACCCACGUGGCAGAAACAAAAGGGAAAAGACCACUUUAUGGCCCUAGGGCGCGUCGUACGUGAUUUCAAGUCGUCGUGGGUUGGAGCCGGCCGACUCCUUAAACUCGCCGGAGUCGAAAACAUGUCGGUUCUGAUCAUCGAGAGAAACCCUUUCAACGGCUCGAACCAACAUGGCAUACCAUACCCUUCGUACUUCCACCCCUCCACUUGGCACGACAUGUCCACGUGGCAGACUAAGAUGAGAGAAACUCACCGGCGCCACUUGUUCUCUUUCAUCGGAGCGAAGAGAAGGAAGGCGGCGAUCCGGAACAAGUUCAUAAAGCAAUGCGGCGAGUCAACUCGGUGCAUGUUAUUGAAUUGUCGUGGGGGUAACGACGAAGCUAGAAAAUGCCAAGAGCCGAGUGAGGUGUUGAAGGUGAUGAGUGAAUCGGUAUUUUGUUUACAAGCCCCCGGCGACACGUUCACGCGGCGGUCAACGUUUGACUCGGUGCUGGCCGGUUGCAUUCCGGUGUUCUUUUCGCCGCACACGGCGUACAGUCAGUAUCAGUGGUACUUGCCGGAGGAAAGAAGCGAGUAUUCUGUGUAUAUAGAUCAGAGAAGUAAAGCGAGGAAGAGAAUAGAAGAUGAGCUGUUGAAGAUUCCGAGCGAGAAGGUCAAGAGGAUGAGGGAGAAGAUCAUAGGUUUGAUACCGAGUUUGACGUAUGCUAACCCGAAUGCGAGUGAUUUUGGGUUUGAAGAUGCUGUUGAUGUUGCGCUUGCAUCAUUGGCCAAGAAGGUCAAGAAAUUUGUUGAUUGAUUUUGAUUUUGGGAGGUGCUAACUGAAUUUUUUUUAUGUUUUUGAAGUGGAAAACAGUACGUAUUGGUUGAGAAUUUUAUUCGCGUAGCAACAUGAUCUGAAGAUACAUAUAUAUAGUUAAUUAGUUCUACAUCACCCAGUCAAAUAGUGGUUCAAAUUUCUCGUCUACUCAUGUAUAUAUCUAAUAAUUCAUUGGAUGCAGACACAAACAUAUAUAUAUGAUUCUUUAAUUUACUAUGUAAUUUUUCUAAAACUUGUUCAAGAGAAAUGAGGUAUCUUUUAUCCACAAUGAGGUAUCAUUAGAAAGAAGAAGCUUCUUCUUCGCACAUAAACCCUAAUCCUAGGAUAAAUUCUUCGCGCAUAUCUGCCACAACCUAAUCUGUAGAAGCUCCAUCUCAGGAUAGCCAUCAAAGUCUUCACAAACCACCUAAUUAAGACAUACUCAUUUUUGCAUUCGUAAUUGCGCCUGUUAGCUCAAAUUUGCAUUCAGCAUAGUAAAAUGAUUCUAGCUUUGUUGAAUGCUAAACUAUGUACCAAGCGUCUAAGCCAUUUAUCGAGUAAAAUGUAUCAUCUUCAAUCCCAAUUUAUUUCUUGACGGCUAGGAGGGAAACGUUCUGACAUGAUCUCCAGACACAGAGUAGUGUCUGAACUUAAAAGGAAAACUCUAGAGUACCCACCAGUUUUUUAUACCGUGGUUUUUUUAAUUAUUUUUACAAAUAUAAUUAAGGACAUUUGGUUAAAACUUUUAUAAUAAAUGUCCGUAUGUUGUAAUUACGAAGUGCAAACCAAAUUUACAUAUUUAUGGGUUUAAUUAGGGUCGAAUUGUAAAUUUUCAGAUUUGGACCAAAUAGACCAUUUUUCACGUAAUAUGAUUCUUAGUUUUAUAAUUGAGUUAUGUUUUUUGUAUUGAGAAAAUAAUUAUAUCUUUCACAACACUUUUACAAACAUAAAGACAUUUGGUUGAAAAUUUUGUAAUAAAAUGUUCAUAUGUUGUAAUUACGAGGUCGAUCUAGACCAAAAUUACAGAUUCAUGACCCCUUUUACAAAAUGGAGAACGAAUGUGUUGUCGAGAUGAUAAAUUUUCAAAUUUAGACCAAAUAAACCAUUUGUUCUCGUUCAUGUAAUAUAGUUCUUGGUUUUGUAAUUGAGUGGUGUAUUUUGUAUUAAGAAAAUAAUAACAUUUUUCCCAACGCUUUUACAGACAUAAAGACAUUUGAUUAAAAUUUUUGUAGUAAAUGUUCAUAUGUUGUAAUUACGAGAUAUGAACCAGAUUUAUAAAUUUAUGACCCGUUUUACAAAAUUGAAGACGAAUGUGUUGUUGAAAUUGUAAAUUUUCAGAUUUGGACUAAAUAGAUCAUUUGUUCUUGUUUAUGUAAUAUAGUUCUUGGUUUUGUAAUUGAGUGUUGUUUUUUGUAUUGAAAAAAUAAUUACAUUUUUUAUAACGCUUUUACAAAGGUAAGGACAUUUGGUUGAAACUUUUGUAAUAAAUGUCUAUAUGUUGUAAUUACAAAGUCUGCUCUAAAUUUACGUGUUCUGAACGAAUUUACUUAUAUUUGUGUAAUUGUGUUGUUAAGUUUGUAAAAUAAAAAAAAUGAAGACGCCACAUGUCAGAAUCUAAAUGGGUAAAUAAAAAAAAAUGUAUUAGGUAUUGGUGGGUAUGCUAGCCUGUCUUCACAAACCACCUAAUUAAGACAUACUCAUUUUUGCAUUCGUAACUGCGCAUAUUAGCUCAAAUUUGCAUUCAACAUAGUAAAAUGAUUCUAGCUUUGUUGAAUGCUAAACUAUGUACUAAGCGUCUAAGUCAUUUAUCGAGUAAAACGUAUCAUCUUCGAUCCCAAUUUAUUUCUCGAUGGCUAGGAGGGAAACAUUCUGACAUAAUCUCCAGACACAGAGUAGUGUCUGAACUUAAAAAGCAUUGUUGAGGAAAAUGUAUGAUCUAGAUUAUAAACAAACUAAACUAUAAAAUGAUAUCAUCAAAUGCGAUUAGAUGAUAGCUAUAUAUAAGCUUUAUGAAUUGAUUAAAAAUAAUUUCGAGUCUGUUGUGUCAAACUAUUUGUUCAUGUUUGGUAGCUGAGGGAAUAAACUUGUCACGCUUAAUUAAUAUUAUAAUAAUACAAUACGAAUGUCAUAUCUUUGGAUAUCAUUGUGCAAAUUGAGUAAAAUGUACUGUCUGCAAACUGAAGGUGUAUCUAUGGCAACAAAUUAUUGUACUUUACUAUAACUAUGAACAGUAAUUACACGAUGAUAAGAAUCGGAUAAUCACAUCGCAUGAUAAUUCACGUAAAAUCUAGAAACUGUCCUGCGGAAUCUAAAACUCCCAAGUACAAACACAAAAGAAAGAAAUAUAUGAUGUGAUAUGGAUGUUGCAUGCUCAUCAGAAACAAGCAUCCAACAUACAACAACAACACAAAGCAGCACAGCAUCCUUUCCAGAAUCCAUCACCCUUCGACUUGGUCUCUACCGGAACAGGAACAGGGUUUUGGUCGCCGGCAUUGGAUCUUGCCGGAUAACCAGCAGGUGGUGGAGCCGAAUAAGGCGGCUUAGGGUAGGCAGCAACAGAACUAGUUGUGCUUGAACUCAUCCUGAUUAAUAUGAUCACGUACAGAAGGAAUUAGAGAAUGAUGAAUACUUUGCAAGUUUGCAGGGAAGAGGUUUGAGAUAUUGAGAAGAGGAUAGACGAAGGUGUACUUAUAUAGAGAGAAAAGCAGGUGAUAUUUGGUGAAGUGGUUGUUUCUUAGAAGGAAUAUCAAUGGUGGCUUUUACGCAGGCGGCUUCACCGCGUGUCGUGGAGACUGGGGAAGAAGAAGGAAUAACAAAGACGGCGCGAAGAAUACAAGGGCCUGCUAUAACUAUUUUAAUUAGGUAGAAGUAUGUCGUUGCUUUUAGAAUAUCGGAAGGUAUAUGAGCUUCGGUUGAUUUUGCUUCGAAGGCCCAAUUCAUCUCCAUCUUUUCUUUUGGCGUAGGAUGUUUGCGGAGCGGAUGCAGUGCACCACGGUGCACUUGAACCAGCUAACUAGGGUAACGGAACUAUAUCAACGUUAAGUUAGCAAACUUUCAAAAAAAAUAGAAACGCAGUAAAACUACAAUUACCUAUCUUAUUAUAACCCUACUGAGUACUAACUGGAGAGAAGACGACGAGGACGACCAUCACUAGGGAUUUUGGCGAGCUCGGAUCGGAGGCAGUCAGUAAGAAUCGAGGUGAGUGAGUGAAUGACAUCGAGUUGCAGGAAGUGCUUGAUGGCCAAUCAGUAAGAAUCGACGGCGUCGGCGGGGUGAUAAGGGAUCGGAGGUCCCGGAGGCGGAGAGGAGAGUCGCCGUGGAAGGGAAGCAGGGGCCGACGAGGCGUACGUGGAGAGAGAGAGAGAGAGAGAGAGAGAGAGAGAGAGAGAGAGAGAGAGAGAGAGAGAGAGAGAGAGAGAGAGAGAGNNNNNNNNNNNNNNNNNNNNCUAGCGAUAACUCAAAUGAGGCUAGCUAUAAUUUAUUACAUUCCUUGGAAGAUAUUUCAUGUGAUAUAUAAAUAUAUUUAAACUAUUUAAUUUCUAUUUGAAGAAUAAUGUUCAUGUAAUGCU
RNAcentral lists this long non-coding RNA (56612 nucleotides) under Fragaria vesca (wild strawberry). RNAcentral describes it as "long non-coding RNA (FVES_LNC000269)". The stretch from base 18963 to 19035 matches the Rfam family "tRNA". The record is from RNAcentral. Lineage: Eukaryota; Viridiplantae; Streptophyta; Magnoliopsida; Rosales; Rosaceae.